This 47410-nucleotide long non-coding RNA is filed under the name Hordeum vulgare. Its description in RNAcentral is "long non-coding RNA (HVUL_LNC009615)". The record is from RNAcentral. Lineage: Eukaryota; Viridiplantae; Streptophyta; Magnoliopsida; Poales; Poaceae.
GACGUAGUCGAACGGAUCCUCACAUUCUGACACACUUGCAAAACUCUAUCGAGACGGAGGAAACCGGAAACAAGCAUCUACACAUGAUAUUCACCCUGGCACAUGCACAAUAUGAUGCAUAACCUAGUAUGAUGCAUGACCAGUUUUAAAUAUGCAAGGCAUGGCACGACAAUUCACAUCAUGCAAACACUACACAUUAAGUGAAGCUCGAGAUGAAACAAGUUGCAUAUCAACGAAACUCCAUGUUUAAUUAUUUAGUUCACUCCCGUUUAGGUACACGGCAAUAUUAAAUGUUGUUAAAUAUGGAAAAGGGUGAAGCAUAAAUUAUCUACUUAUCUAGGCAUUUUAAAUGAGAUCGGAAACGACAUAUAGCAUCUCUAAGACGACCCCAUGCGUUAAACUCUAAAUCUGUCCAGAUUUGUCCUAAUCACAUUUUAUGUUUGUUUAACAGAAAAACAAAUUGGUUCACAUGAUUCUACUCGUUGUUCCGGUCCAUUUACAUAUAUGGCACAUCUCCAAUGGAGCUACGGUUAAAUAAUUAUGACCUAAACCGUUUGCAACACGGCAGGACACACAAAACAAGGUAAACAACAAGUUUAACACUUGUAAUCAUGCAUGAGAGUUGGAAAAUAUUAAUCUAUGCGAGAUUCUAGUCAAGUUACAUAUUUAACUCGUCGGAAUCCGACGCACGGAAUAAAAGUAAGGUGCCUUUGAAAAUUACUCAUUUUUCUGAAAUUAAUAAAUUCGCUGGAGAAAUAAAAAAACUCCGUGCCGAAUCUAGAUCUGGCCCAAGACACGGCAUGGCGACACUUAACUAAAAGGCGUCUGAGCAGGAUUUAGCGGGGCGACUCACCUCGGGCCUCACGGCCCACUCGGCGGAGGAGCUGAGGCAUGCCGAGGCUGGUCGAGCUGGGCCGGGGGAGGAGCUGCUCGUGCCGGCCCGACCGGAGGCAGGUGGAGGACGACGGCUGGGCCUGGGGCGUGACCCAGCAAGCGAGGCACGCACGGCUUCAUGCUUGUCCCGCACGAGCAGUGCACCGGUGGCUGCCGACGGGGGUGAUGUCCGAUGGACCUCCCGCGAGGGAUGCGGCAAGGACGGUUCCCCCGAGACGGAUCUGGGGCGGGGCUGCCCGGAUCCAGCCGUUCCCGGCGGUCUUGAGGCGAGGCGGCUGAUGGGGAACGUUGCAUGGGAAACAAAAAUUUUCCUACGCAUACGAAGACCUAUCAUGGUGGUGUCCAUCUACAAGUGGCGGUUAGAUCUACGUACCCUUGUACAUUGCUCAGCGGGAAGCGUUAAGAAACGUGGUUGAUGUAAUGGAACGUCUUCACGUCCCUCGAACUGUCCCACGAACCGCCCCACAAUCCGUCCCACGAUCCGUUCCGAUCUAGCGCCGAACGGACGGCACCUCCGUGUUCAGCACACGUACAACUCGAUAAUGAUCUCGACCUUCUUGAUCUAGCAAGGAAGACGGAGAGGUAGAUGAGUUCUCCGGCAGCGUGACGGUGCUCCGAUGGUGGUGAUGAUCUACUCCUGUAGGGCUCCCCCCCGAGCUCCGCAGAAAUCCGAUCUGGAGGUAAAACUAUGUGGAAUAGGCUAGAGUUGCACGUGGCAACGUUGUGUCUCAAAAAGCCAUAAACCACCACUAUAUAUAGGAGGAAGGGGGAGGGGCUAGCCUUGAGGCACAAGGCCUCAAGGUGCGCCGGCCGCCAGGAGGAGGAGGAUUGCUCCUCCAAUUCGGUUUGGGAAGGAGGAGUCCUCCUCUUCCUUCCCACCUCCCUCUUUCCUUUUUUCUUCUUCUUUUCUUUUGGUAUUUUCUUAUGUGGCGCCAUAGCCCUCUUGGGCUGACUCCACCAGACCAAUAAGGACUUGGUGCGCCACCCUAGGGCCUUGGGCUCAUUCCCGGGUGGGUGGGCCCCUCCCGGUAAACACCCGGAACCCAUUCGUCACUCUCGGUACACUACCGGAAUUGCCCGAAACUUUCCGGUGACCAAAUGAAACCAUCCUAUAUAUGAAUCUUCGUUUCCAGACCAUUCCGGAAACCCUCGUGACGUCCGUGAUCUCAUCCGGGACUCCUAACAACAUUCGGUAACCACACAUAUAACUCAACUAUACUAGAACAUCACCGAACCUUAAGUGUGCAGACCCUGCGGGUUCGAGAACUAUGUAGACAUGACCCGAGGCACUCCUCGGUCAAUAUCCAAUAGAGGGACUUGGAUGCCCAUAUUGGAUCCUAUAUAUUCUCCGAAGAUCUUAUAGGUUGAACCUCAGUGUCAAGGAUUCAUAUAAUCCCGUAUGUCAUUCCCUUUGUCCUUCGGUAUGUUACUUGCCCGAGAUUUGAUCGUCGGUAUCCGCAUACCUACUUCAAUCUCGCUACCGGCAAGUCUAUUUACUCGUUCCGUAAUACAAGAUACCAUGACUUACACUUAGCCACAUUGCUUGCAAGGCUUGUGUGUGAUGUUGUAUUACCGAGUGGGCUCCGAGAUACCUCUCCAUCACACGGAGUGACAAAUCCCAGUCUUGAUCCAUACUAACUCAACGGACACCUUCGGAGAUACCUGUAGAGCACCUUUAUAGUCACCCAGUUACGUUGCGACGUUUGAUGCACACAAGGUAUUCCUCCGGUGCCAGUGAGUUAUAUAAUCUCAUGGUCAUAGGAAUAAAUACUUGACACGUAGAAAACAAUAGCAAUAAAAUGACAAGAUCAACAUGCUACGUUCAUAGUUUGGGUCUAGUCCGUCACAUGAUUCUCCUAAUGAUGUGAUCCAGUUAUCAAGCAACAACACUUGCACAUAGUCAGAAAACUUUGACUAUCCUUGAUCAACUGGCUAGCUAACUAGAGGCUUGCUAGGGACAUUGUUUUGUCUAUGUAUCCACACAUGUAUCUAUGAUUUCAUUCAAUAUAAUUAUAGCAUGGAUAAUAAACGAUUAUCUUUGUAACAGGAAAUAUAAUAAUAACUAUUUAUCAUUGCCUCUACGACAUAUUUCCAAUAGCGGCGACCUUGGCUAUGGGAGGAUUCGGGGCGGUGGAGUACUCGCGGGUGGCUGCGCUGCUGGCCGACAGCGGACGCGCAACGGGGUGACCGGAGGGCGUAGUGCGGGGCGCCGGCUAGAGUCAAUAAUCUAGUCCUCACAUCGCCAUGCGAUCUACGUUGUAAUAAAUCUAAUACCCAUACAGUUCUGGUGUUGAUCAUUGUCGUGGGUAUAAGUCUGACAGUAGAAGUAUGGGGUACGAAAGUAUAUGGGCAGAGCCUUAGCUACGGCGAGGAUGCAUGAGUUCAGGCCCCUCUACGGUGAAGGUAAAAGCCCUACGUCUCAGUGCUCUUGGGAGCUUUGUGUCGAGUGUAUUGUGGGAUUACAACAAGUGCCAACCCCUGUACCAGUGGUGAAGGGCGGCUUAUAUAGAGUGUGUUGCCCUUCAUAAUGGCCCGAUGGACAGGAGUGGAGUAGUGGCGAGUAAAGGCUGGCGUUACUGGUAACGUAAGCCUUAAAUGCUAGUUAUGGUGUAUGAAAACGUAUGACAGUUGCUCUCCUGGGAGGUUACGACGUACAGAGUGGAUUCCAGUCGGUACGUUAGAUAUGCUCCGAGUGGAUCGUCGUCGACUGGAUGAUGGGGGCGUCCUUAGUUCAGUCGGAACUGUCUAAGGGUCUUGUCCUCUAUGAAGGGUAGUCCUUGGGUAGGACCUAUAGGGCAGACCUAUGACCCUACCUGGGGCUAUAACCCCAUCAUUAGUCCCCGAAUGGAUCGGGGUUGGAACGAUGAAGUGAUGUCCGAAGUUUGCAGCCGACUGGUAUUGAGGUGAUCUUAGCGUUGUCUGCCUCGAUCCAUUUUAUCUUUGUGGCUAGUGAUUCGAGUGAAUAUGCAAGCGAAACGAACCGUGAGGGACCGAUUGCUUCCGCGGAAUCUUUUGACGUGACCGGUCAUACUGACAGCGCCGGAUUUUCCGGGAUCCUCAAAUUUCGGUUGCCGCGCGCUCACGGGGGAUGACGACAUCGCCAUCGAGUAGAUUUCACCUCCUCGAUUACCGCACCGCGAUCUUCUCCACUAAUCUUGCAGCAGCCGGUUGGGAGGAUAAGAUCUUGGGCCCACCUGUAGGUGACCCAGUCGGAGGCCUAUUAAAGCCUUCCCGGCGGACCUUCCUGUUGUGCUGCUCGUCCUCUUCCCAUUGAUCUCGCCCCCCGCAACUCCCUGCACACCUCAAGCCACCUCCUUCCCGUCCUCCUCUGCGGAUCCGUCGCCCUCGCCAUGAUGAAGGGGCAGACCAGCAAGCUUGAGGCGAAGAAGAAGACGAAGGGGGCAGCUUCUACUUAGUGGCGGCAGCGGGCGUUGCCGGCGGGCUGGAUAUAAGGGGACUUCCUCCCCUCCACGGUGAGGGAGAACGACGUGCUGGAGCUGGUGGAGCACGGCAUGGUCGUCAACAAGUCUUGAAGGCUGCCGGAAGGCGAGAUGGAGCCGACGCCGAAGGAGGGGGAGCGCGUUCUACUGCUCAGCCACGUGGCCAGAGGUUUCUCCCUGCCUCCCCAUCCUUUCUUCCGAGGUAUCAUGAAUUACUUCAGGGCGCAGCUCCAUCACUUUCCGCCGAAUGCGAUAUCUCAUCUUUCCACAUUCAUCACCCUCUGUGAGUGCUUCAUAGGAUGUCCUCCCCACUGGGGGCUCUUCAGAUAUGUUUUCUCCGCUAGAUCUCAAACUGUUAAGAAGCUUAGACAGUCUGAUGAUAAGACACACAUCCUCCAGCUCUGCGGGGGUUUAGGAUUUCAGAAGACAACGAAAAGUAGUUAUCCCUCCCUUCAGCUAUCUGAGUCGGUUAGGAACUGGCAAUCGUCCUGGUUCUAUUGCCAGGACAUUGCCUGUCCGAAUGCUUCGAGUGGGUUACCACCCUUCAGUUUAGACCGCCCGGGCCCUCCCAGGAAGCUAGCGCUCUCUAAGGGAGAAAGAACUCAGAUCUAGCCUUUGGUCGACGCGCUGAUAUCCGUCGUCCGGAAGGGAGUCACCGGCAUGGACCUGUUGGAGACUUUUCUGGGUCGACGCAUCCAGCCGCUCCAGGCCCGAGACCACGCAAUGUGGCAUUACACGGGGCCUUCUGGUACCACUCGGUCCCAUCUUGAAGACGUGAGCGAGGAGACCGUGAGUGCGUGGGUCCGCAGCAUCACGGGCACAUGUGAUAACCCCGUGGGAGCUCGGCGGGUGAAGGCCUUCCGCGCCGAAAAUCCUCCUCCGAAUGAGGUGAGUACAUGUUGUCGAGUGCUUUUAACCUUCUCAGUUUUAUUGCUUUUCUUGUCUCGCUGACUGCCAUUGCUGACUGUGUUUUGUGCAGGAGUGGACGAACUGGCAUUCUGCAGUCUCAAACGGGAAUCCGGUCGAGGAAGAAGAAGGCAGCAUGGAGGGUAGCGCGGGUAGUGCCGAGUACAUCUCUGACAGUAGGAAGACGGAGGAGGAAACAGAAGAGGAGGAGGAGGAGAGUGAAGAGCAGAGCUCGUCACCCUCACUACCAGAACACCGAACCAAGCACCGUCAUGACCCCGCUGUUCUGCCGGCUCCUCCCAUGGCCCCGAGUGCUCGGAGUGUGAAGAGAACCAGGGGUGCUUCUGCCGAGCCCGUGGAUCAGCUGUCCAAGGUGGCUAAACCCAGCGGGUCUAAACCUCAGAAAGCUUUGCCCCGGAUGAGGAUCGCUGUUCCGGUCGCCUCAGCGUAAGUAUCUUUGCUCUCCCAUCUUCCUUUAGUAUCCGAUUGGACUCUUCUUUUUGGGAAUUCAUGUUUACCCGUCGAAUGGAUUUCACUCAACAGAGCUGCUACCUCCACCACCUCUCUGCCGCGUCAGAGUGACGAUCCCAUGGACACUGAUAACGCUACCACGUCCCAGCAAGGCACGUUGUCAUGACUCCGAGAGUUGUAUUACCGUUUCGCGAGUACUGUCUUUGAUCUUGAUCUUUUUCUGUAUUUUUAUUUUGUUCAGUUGGGGUUCCUUCGGAGGUGAUCCAUCUGGACGACGACGACCAAAGGAGGUCGGAACCAGCUUUGGCACCUGUCCCUGGGGUUAUCCAACCUGCUGCCAACCCCGCCAUGAGCGUGCCGCCGAUAGAGACGGUGGCCUUCACGGCGGAACCGACUGGAGCGGAGCUCGGGAUGCCCAGGGAGCUCGGGAUACCUAGGGCGCCUUCUGCCACGCCGGGUCCAUCGACUGUUCAAUAUGAUGCCCGACGCCUCCCGGAAGAUCAAGUAGGAGCCGCGAAGGACGCCAUGGUACAAGUGGAACUGAUGGUGGGCGAAGCCAAGGGAGCAUAUGACUCCAUUGCGUCCCUGUACAAGAAGAGCUUGGAGCUUCGGGAUGAUAUUCGAGUAAGUGCACUAGUAAGUGUUUACAUUCCUCUUGGUGCCCACUGGGGGUUUUAGCAAGAUACUCGGAUACAGUAGGUUGAUUUUCCAGUGGGUUCACUCUGAGUGGGACAUGUUCCGAGUGAAUUCCCGCCUUAAAAAGGUGGGUCCUUUCAUUGGUCCUUAACAAGGGGGUUUUAGCGAGAUACUCGGUACCAGUGGGGGCACGCCGAGUGCACCCACUGGGUGUAGUCCCCGAGAGUAGUGUUACUCAGGUCGAGUAAUAGUAAUCUCAUAGUGUUGUUGGUUUGCUAUGGAGCUCAAUGGGACCGACCUGUUCGAGCUUCAUACCAGUGGGGUCACUCUCAGUGAACCCACUGGGUGUAAUCCCCGAGACCGCUGUCGAUUGCUUGCAUCGGCAAGGGUCUGAAGAAUCUUGAGUUUUGAUUGUUUUGUCAUAUCUGUCGAGACUUUUUCCUUGUUGAAUUUGGCUGAUCCUCCCUUUGUGUCUCUUUGACAGAAGACUUGUGAAAUGGGAUCGGCCUAUAAUGCUCUGAAGGCUGAGAAGACUCAACUUGCUGCCGACUUGGAGGUAGCUUCGAAUGAUCUGGCUAGCAUGAAGAAGGCUCUCACUGAACGAGAAAAAUCUUUGGAGGAAUCUCGGGAGACUAACAAGGCACUGCUAGCCGAGGUAGAAAAAAUGAAGAAGGAGAGAUCUGAAUGGAUGGGCCAGCUGAAGUUAAUGAACACUCGGUGCAGAGCGCAGGAGAACUACGUCGGCGACUGGGCGAAGAAGAUGGUCGCACUGCUUGGUGGUAAGUUGCUUGCCGAGUGCUCUUUGACUUUGGAGUUCACUCCGCACUUAUUUUCUCCCUGUCUUUUCUUUGUAGAUUUCUGUAGGGACGUUGAAGCCGAAACUGCCGAAAUUGAAUGGUCGCUUGGGCAACCGAAUGUUCCACUCGGUGAUGAAGCUAACCGGGACAUGUUCCGAGUGAAUUCCCGCCUUAACAAGGUGGGUCCUUUCAUUGGUCGCCUGAGAGGAGUUGUCGGCCGAAUUGACAAAGAGCUUUGGCCUGAAGAUGACUCCCGGAAUGAGAUAGAGGGGUUGAUGACUCGACUGGAGGAUGUUCCGAGCAGACUGCAGGCAUGGAAGAAGUCUGCCGCUCGGUGUGGCGCGGACGUGGCGCUGUCUCUGGUCCAAGUGCAUUGUAAGGAAGCCCGCGAAGACAAGCUGAAGACGUUGCAGGUCACCAACACCAAGAAGCUUUGAUUUGAAGACUUUAUGGAGAACUUCCUCGAUGGGGCCACUCGGAUUGCAGACGGGAUCGACCUCGACACCUUCGUGGAGCCUGCCAGCCCCGGCGAUGCUUGAUUGACUUUAUGCUGAACGCGCAUUUACCUCGGUAUGUCGAGUGGAGUUUGUAUUAAACUUUGGCCACUGCUGUUGGCCGGUACAUUCCUGGCUCAGUGUGGAUAAACUUGAUUCACACCGAGCCGACUGAUCGUUGAACUCAAUUUGAAUUCGAACCAGAUCUUUUGCUCUUCCUUUGUUGAGUUUUUUUUGACACAAUUUUGGCUCGUGGUUUUUGUUUAGGCGACUCAGCUAAGCCUCCGAGUGUAACUUGUGUGCCCACUCGGAGGAAGGUUUUACUUAGGCGACUCUGGGUCGCAGCUAAGUCCCCGAGUGUGACUUUUGGUGCACACUCGGAGCAAGUUGUUACUUAGGCGACUCUGGGUCGCAGCUAUGUCUCCGAGUGUGACUUUUGGUGCACACUCGGAGCAAGUUUUUACUUAGGCGACUCUGCGUCGCAGCUAAGUCCCCGAGUGUGACUUUUGGUGCACACUCGGAGCGAGUUUUCACCUAGGCGACUCUGGGUCGCAGCUAAGUCCCCGAGUGUGACUUUUGGUGCACACUCGGAGCGAGUUUUUACUUAAGCGACUCUGGGUCGCAACUAAGUCCCCGAGUGUGACUUUUGGUGCACACUCGGAGCGAGUUUUUACUUAGACGACUCUGGGUCGCAGCUAAGUCUCCGAGUGUGACUUUUCGUGCACACUCGGAGCGAGNNNNNNNNNNNNNNNNNNNNNNNNNNNNNNNNNNNNNNNNNNNNNNNNNNNNNNNNNNNNNNNNNNNNNNNNNNNNNNNNNNNNNNNNNNNNNNNNNNNNNNNNNNNNNNNNNNNNNNNNNNNNNNNNNNNNNNNNNNNNNNNNNNNNNNNNNNNNNNNNNNNNNNNNNNNNNNNNNNNNNNNNNNNNNNNNNNNNNNNNNNNNNNNNNNNNNNNNNNNNNNNNNNNNNNNNNNNNNNNNNNNNNNNNNNNNNNNNNNNNNNNNNNNNNNNNNNNNNNNNNNNNNNNNNNNNNNNNNNNNNNNNNNNNNNNNNNNNNNNNNNNNNNNNNNNNNNNNNNNNNNNNNNNNAGUGCACACUCGGAGCGAUUUGUUUACUUAGGCAACUCUGGGUCGCAGCUAAGUCCCCGAGUGUGACUUCUAGUGCACACUCAGAACGAGUUGUUUACUUAAGCGACUCUGGGUCGCAGCUAAGUCCCCGAGUGUGACUUUUGGUGCACACUCGGAGUGAGUUUUUACUUAGGCGACUCUGGGUCGCAACUAAGUCCCCGAGUGUGACUUUUGGUGCACACUCGGAGAAAGUUUUUACUUAGGCGACUCUGGGUCGUAGCUAAGUCACCGAGUGUGACUUUUCAUGCACACUCGGAGCGAGUUGUUUACUUAGGCGACUCUGGGUUGCAGCUAAGUCCCCGAGUGUGACUUUUGGUGCACACUCGGAGUUAGUUUUUUUAGACCGGAGUCUGCAAAUGUGGAAGAAUUUUGAAUCAGCAAGAAAUUAAUCCGCUUUGUAUUACUUCGAUGACAUUUGUUCUUUACAUUGUCUGUGUCGGCGGUUCUGUGUAGAAGCGCUUCAGUAGAUCUCCAUUCCAUGCUCGCGGCUCGUCCAUCUCCCUGUCGAGGUUGUAGAGUCGAUAUGCUCCGUUGUUCAGCACCUUAGAAAUGAUGAACGGUCCUUCCCAGGCGGGAGCCAACUUGUGUGGUCUCUGUUGAUCCACUCGGAGCAGAAGGUCGCCUGCUUGGAACGUGCGGCUCCUGACGUGCCGCGCAUGAAAUCGCCGCAGAUCUUGUUGAUAAUUUGUUGAACGGAUUAAUGCCAUCUCGCGCUCCUCUUCUAAAAGGUCUACUCCGUCUUGCCUGGCUUGCUCUGCUUCGGCUUCGGAGAAGAGUUCGACUCGUGGAGAGUUGUGAAGCAAGUCACUCGGAAGGACCGCCUCUGCUCCAUAAACGAGAAAAAACGGGGAUCGCCCUGUCGAUCUAUUCGGAGUUAUUCGGAGGCCCCACAACACCGAAGGCAGCUCGGUGACCCAUGCGCCGGCGGCAUGUCCAACUUCCCGCAGGAGUCGAGGAUUCAACCCUUGAAGAAUGAGUCCAUUCGCCCGCUCCGCUUGUCCAUUUGUUUGGGGGUGCGGAACGGAUGCAAAAUCCACUCGGAUACCUUGGCCUGCGCAAAAACCUUUGAACCUGUCCGAGUCCAAGUUUGUGCCAUUGUCGGUGAUUAUGCUGUGUGGAACCCCGUAUCUGGCGAUGAUGUCCCUGAUAAAUUUGAUGACCGUAAGGGCAUCAAGCUUCUUGAUAGGCUUGGCUUCAAUCCACUUGGUAAAUUUGUCGACUGCUACCAGCAGAUGGGUGAAUCCUCCUUGGCCUGUUCUGAAUGGUCCGACUAUAUCUAACCCCACACGGCGAAUGGCCAAGAAAGGGGAAUUGUCUUCAGCGCAGACGUUGGCUUGUGGGACUUGUUUGAAUAGAACUGGCAACCCUCGCAAUGGUCGACUAUAUCUUUUGCCAUUUCAUUCGCCUGCAACCAGAAGAAACCAGCUCUGAACGCUUUGGCGACGAUUGCCCUUGAGGAGGCAUGAUGACCGCAGGUUCCCGAGUGAAUUUCUUCCAAAAUUAACUGUCUCUCUCAGGAGAGAUACAACGCUGAAGGACGCCUGAAACACUUUCUCUGUAUAACUGGUCAUCAAUGACGGUGAAGGACUUCGACCUGCGAACGAUCUGCCUAGCUUGGACCUCGUCUUCCGGUAACUCUUGCCUCAGGAUGUACGCAAUGAAUGGCACUGUCCAUUCGGGAAUAACAACUAGAACCUCCAUGACCAGGUCAACCACAGCGGGAACUUCAACUUCAGUCUGAUCUGUUGAGCUCUUCGGUUGCACAGGCUCCUCUCUAAAAGGAUCUUCUUUUACCGAGGGGAGGUGUAGGUGCUUGAGGCAGACAUCACUCGGGACAGGUCUCCGUGUGGAUCCAAGUUUUGCCUAUUCAUGUGCUGCUUGGUUUUUCAGUCGAGGAACAUUGUGAAGUUCCUGACCUUCGAACUUCUUCUCGAGCUUUCUUAUUGUGUUGCAGUAUGGAGUCAUGGUGGGGUUCCUUACACCCCAUUCCUUCAUUACUUGAUUAACCACUAGAUCUGAGUUGCCAUAGACCAUCAGGCGACGGACGCCGAGUGUGAUGGCCAUGCGCAACCCGUAAAGGAGAGCUUCGUACUCUGCUUCGUUGUUGUAAGAAUCAAAAUGGAUCUGCAACACAUACUUGAGUUUAUCACCUUUCGGGGAUAUGAGUACUACGCCUGCGCCGGAGCCAUUCAACAUCUUGGACCCAUCGAAGAACAUGGUCCAAUGAGCCGAGUAGAUGUGAGUCAGUUGCUGUUGUUCUACCCAUUCUGCUAUGAAGUCAGCAAGAGCUUGAGACUUUAUAGCUUUCUUGGCUUCGAACUUGAUGUUGCAGUAUAGCAUUUCCAUUGCCCACUUUGCCACUCGGCCUGAUGCGUCCCGAUUGUGGAGAAUUUCCGACAACGGAGCAUUAGAUAUGACCGAUAUCGAGUGGUCUUGGAAAUAAUGAGCCACCUUCUUUGCAGUCAUGUAGAUCCCAUAAAUAAGCUUCUGAUAAUGGNNNNNNNNNNNNNNNNNNNNNNNNNNNNNNNNNNNNNNNNNNNNNNNNNNNNNNNNNNNNNNNNNNNNNNNNNNNNNNNNNNNNNNNNNNNNNNNNNNNNAGAGGAGGAUUUUAAACGGAGUCCAAACGGAACGAAACUUCCAAAAAGAUUUUUUCCAAAACAGAAGAAGAUCGGGGAGCCUGAGAACCAGGGCAGGGGGCUACCAGGGACCCCACAAGCCCCCUAGCCGCGGCCAGGCGGGGGGCCCGCGCCUCCCAGGCUUGUUGGCUCCCUGGGCCACCUCUGCCCUAGGUCUUUCGCCUAUAUAUUCCCAAAAAUUCUAGAAAAAAUCAGGAGAUCAUCGAAAGUACUUUUCCGCCGCCGCAAGCUUAUGUCUGUGCAAGAUCCCAUUCGGGGCACGUUCUGGUGCCCUGCCAGAGGGGGGAUUCGGAUACGGAGGGCUUCUUCAUCAACACCAUGACCUCUCCNNNNNNNNNNNNNNNNNNNNNNNNNNNNNNNNNNNNNNNNNNNNNNNNNNNNNNNNNNNNNNNNNNNNNNNNNNNNNNNNNNNNNNNNNNNNNNNNNNNNNNNNNNNNNNNNNNNNNNNNNNNNNNNNNNNNNNNNNNNNNNNNNNNNNNNNNNNNNNNNNNNNNNNNNNNNNNNNNNNNNNNNNNNNNNNGGUGUGUUUGUCGAGAUCCGAUGAAUUGUGGAUUUAUGAUCAGAUUAUCUAUGAAUCUUAUUUGAGUUUCUUCUGAUCUCUUAUAUGCAGGAUUUCAUAUCCUUGUAAUUCUCUUCGAGUUGUGGGUUUUGUUUGGCCANNNNNNNNNNCUCUUUUGCGGUGUGUUUGUCGAGAUUCGAUGAAUUGUGGAUUAAUGAUCAGAUUAUCUAUGAAUCUUAUUUGAGUUUCUUCUGAUCUCUUANNNNNNNNNNNNNNNNNNNNNNNNNNNNNNNNNNNNNNNNNNNNNNNNNNNNNNNNNNNNNNNNNNNNNNNNNNNNNNNNNNNNNNNNNNNNNNNNNNNNGCUGUUGGCCGGUACAUUCCUGGCUCAGUGUGGAUAAACUUGAUUCACACCGAGCCGACUGAUCGUUGAACUCAAUUUGAAUUCGAACCAGAUCUUUUGCUCUUCCUUUGUUGAGUUUUUUUUGACACAAUUUUGGCUCGUGGUUUUUGUUUAGGCGACUCAGCUAAGCCUCCGAGUNNNNNNNNNNNNNNNNNNNNNNNNNNNNNNNNGGAUCUUUUGCUCUUCCUUCGCUGAGUUUUUUUACACGAUUUUGGCUCGUGGUUUUUGUUUAGGCGACUCAGCUAAGCCUCCGAGUGUAACUUGUGUGCCCACUCGGAGGAAGGUUUUACUUAGGCGACUCUGGGUCGCAGCUAAGUCCCCGAGUGUGACUUUUGGUGCACACUCGGAGUGAGUUUUCACCUAGGCGACUCUGGGUCGCAGCUAAGUCCCCGAGUGUGACUUUUGGUGCACACUCGGAGUAAGUUGUUACUUAGGCGACUCUGGGUCGCAGCUAUGUCUCCGAGUGUGACUUUUGGUGCACACUCGGAGCAAGUUUUUACUUAGGCGACUCUGCGUCGCAGCUAAGUCCCCGAGUGUGACUUUUGGUGCACACUCGGAGCGANNNNNNNNNNUUUGUUUACUUAGGCAACUCUGGGUCGCAGCUAAGUCCCCGAGUGUGACUUCUAGUGCACACUCAGAACGAGUUGUUUACUUAAGCGACUCUGGGUCGCAGCUAAGUCCCCGAGUGUGACUUUUGGUGCACACUCGGAGUGAGUUUUUACUUAGACGACUCUGGGUCGCAGCUAAGUCUCCGAGUGUGACUUUUCGUGCACACUCGGAGCGAGUUGUUUACUUAGGCGACUCUGGGUCGCAGCNNNNNNNNNNGGCGACUCUGGGUCGCAACUAAGUCCCCGAGUGUGACUUUUGGUGCACACUCGGAGAAAGUUUUUACUUAGGCGACUCUGGGUCGUAGCUAAGUCACCGAGUGUGACUUUUCAUGCACACUCGGAGCGAGUUGUUUACUUAGGCGACUCUGGGUUGCAGCUAAGUCCCCGAGUGUGACUUUUGGUGCACACUCGGAGUUAGUUUUUUAGACCGGAGUCUGCAAACGUGGAAGAAUUUUGAAUCGACAAGAAAUUAAUCCGCUUUGUAUUACUUCGAUGACAUUUGUUCUUUACAUUGUCUCUGUCGGCGGUUAUGUGUAGAAGCGCUUCAGUAGAUCUCCAUUCCAUGCUCGCGGCUCGUCCAUCUCCCUGUCGAGGUUGUAGAGUCGAUAUGCUCCGUUGUUCAGCACCUUAGAAAUGAUGAACGGUCCUUCCCAGGCGGGAGCCAACUUGUGUGGUCUCUGUUGAUCCACUCGAAGCACCAGGUCGCCUGCUUGGAACGUGCGGCUCCUGACGUGCCACGCAUGAAAUCGCCACAGAUCUUGUUGAUAAAUUGUUGAACGGAUUAAUGCCAUCUCGCGCUCCUCUUCUAAAAGGUCUACUCCGUCUUGCCUGGCUUGCUGUGCUUCGGCUUCGGAGAAGAGUCCGACUCGUGGAGAGUUGUCAAGCAAGUCACUCGAAAGGACCGCCUCUGCUCCAUAAACGAGAAAAAACGGGGAUCGCCCUGUNNNNNNNNNNGAGCAGAAGGUCGCCUGCUUGGAACGUGCGGCUCCUGACGUGCCGCGCAUGAAAUCGCCGCAGAUCUUGUUGAUAAUUUGUUGAACGGAUUAAUGCCAUCUCGCGCUCCUCUUCUAAAAGGUCUACUCCGUCUUGCCUGGCUUGCUCUGCUUCGGCUUCGGAGAAGAGUUCGACUCGUGGAGAGUUGUGAAGCAAGUCACUCGGAAGGACCGCCUCUGCUCCAUAAACGAGAAAAAACGGGGAUCGCCCUGUCGAUCUAUUCGGAGUUAUUCGGAGGCCCCACAACACCGAAGGCAGCUCGGUGACCCAUGCGCCGGCGGCAUGUCUAACUUCCCGCAGGAGUCGAGGCUUCAACCCUUGAAGAAUGAGUCCAUUCGCCUGCUCCUCUUGUCCAUUUGUUUGGGGGUGCGCAACGGAUGCAAAAUCCACUCGGAUACCUUGGCCUGUGCAAAAACCUUUGAACCUGUCCGAGUCAAAGUUUGUGCCAUUGUCGGUGAUUAUGUUGUGUGGAACCCCGUAUCUGGCGAUGAUGUCUCUGAUAAAUUUGAUGGCCGUAAGGGCAUCAAGCUUCUUGAUAGGCUUGGCUUCAAUCCACUUGAUAAAUUUGUCGACUGCUACCAGCAGAUGGGUGAAUCCUCCUUGGCCUGUUCUGAAUGGUCCGACUGUAUCUAACCCCCACACGGAGAAUGGCCAAGAAAGGGGAAUUGUCUUCAGCGCGGACGUUGGCUUGUGGGACUUGUUUGAAUAGAAUUGGCAACCCUCGCAACGGUCGACUAUAUCUUUUGCCAUUUCAUUCGCCUACAACCAGAAGAAACCGGCUCUGAACGCUUUGGCGACGAUUGCCCUUGAGGAGGCAUGAUGACCGCAGGUUCCCGAGUGAAUUUCUUCCAAAAUUAACUGUCCCUCCUCAGGAGAGAUACAACGCUGAAGGACGCCUGAAACACUUUCUCUGUAUAACUGGUCAUCAAUGACGGUGAAGGACUUCGACCUGCGAACGAUCUGCCUAGCUUGGACCUCGUCUUCUGGUAAAUCUUGCCUCAGGAUGUACGCAAUGAAUGGCACAGUCCAUUCGGGAAUAACAGCUAGAAUCUCCAUGACCAGGUCAACCACUGCGGGAACUUCGACUUCAGUCUGAUCUGUUGAGCUCUUAGGUUGCACACGCUCCUUUGUAAAAGGAUCUUCUUUUACCGAGGGGAGGUGUAGGUGCUCGAGGCAGACAUCACUCGGGACAGGUCUCCAUGUGGAUCCAAGUUUUGCCAAUUCAUCUGCUGCUUGGUUUUUCAGUCGAGGAACAUGGUGAAGUUCCAGACCUUCGAACUUCUUCUCGAGCUUUCUUAUUGCGUUGCAGUAUGCAGUCAUGGUGGGGUUCCUUACAUCCCAUUCCUUCAUUACUUGAUUAACCACUAGAUCUGAGUCGCCAUAGACCAUCAGGCGACGGACGCCGAGUUUGAUGGCCGUGCGCAACCCGUAAAGGAGAGAUUUGUACUCUGCUUCGUUGUUGGAAGAAUCAAAAUGGAUCUGCAACACAUACUUGAGCUUAUCACCUUUCGGGGAUAUGAGUACUACGCCGGCGCCGGAGCCAUUCAACAUCUUGGACCCAUCGAAGAACAUGGUCCAAUGAGCCGAGUAGAUGUGAGUCGGUUGCUGUUGUUCUACCCAUUUUGCUAUGAAGUCAGCAAGAGCUUGAGACUUUAUAGCUUUCUUGGCUUCGAACUUGAUGUUGCAGUAUAGCAUUUCCAUUGCCCACUUUGCCACUCGGCCUGAUGCGUCCCGAUUGUGGAGAAUUUCCGACAACGGAGCAUUAGAUAUGACCGAUAUCGAGUGGUCUUGGAAAUAAUGAGCCACCUUCUUUGCAGUCAUGUAGAUCCCAUAAAUAAGCUUCUGAUAAUGGGGAUACCUUUGCUUGGAAGGAGUCAGGACUUCGGAAACAUAAUAUACUGGCCGCUGAACCUUGUACGCUUUGCCUUCUUCUUCACGUUCGACUGUCAGAACGGUGUUGACGACUUGAUUUGUAGCCGCGAUGUACAGAAGAAGGGGUUCUUUACUUAGCGGGGCAGUAAGAACCGGAUGGGUGGAGAGCAGGGCUUUGAGGUCGUCGAAUGCGGUUUGGGCUUCGUCUAUCCACUCGAAGGUAUCCGACUUCUUCAUGAGUCGGUACAGAGGUAACGCCUUCUCACCGAGUCGAGCGAUAAACCUGCUCAAAGCCGCUAGGCAACCUGUGAGCUUUUGUAUGUCAUGUACUCUUACCGGCCGCUCCAUUCGAACAAUGGUCCCGAUCUUCUCGGGGUUAACGUCGAUCCCUCGUUCGGAAACAAAGAAACCGAGUAACUUCCCGCUGGGAACGCCGAAUGNNNNNNNNNNGCCGAGUCGAGCGAUAAACCUGCUCAAAGCCGCUAGGCAACCUGUGAGAUUUUGUACGUCAUGUACUCUUAUCGGCCGCUCCAUUCGAACAAUGGUCCCGAUAUUUUCGGGGUUGACGUCGAUCCCUUGUUCGGAAACAAAGAAACCGAGUAACUUCCCGCUGGGAACGCCGAAUGAACACUUGGCUGGGUUGAGCUUGAUAUCGUACCUACGUAGGUUGGCGAAUGUUUGUGCCAAGUCGGUCAGUAGGUCGGAACCUUUGCGUGACUUGACUACGAUAUCGUCCAUAUAUGCCUCCACAUUUCGACCAAUCUAGUCUAGGAGGCAUUUUUGGAUCAUUCGCAUAAAAGUUGCUCCUGCAUUCUUCAAACCGAAUGGCAUAGUGAUGUAACAGAAGCACCCGAAUGGGGUGAUGAAAGAUGUUUUUAAUUCAUCUGGACCAUACAGACGGAUCUGAUGAUAGCCCGAAUAGGCAUCAAGGAAGGAUAAGCGCUCGCAACCCGCAGUCGAAUCAACAAUUUGAUCAAUGCGGGGGAGCGGGAAGUGGUCUUUCGGACGUACCUUAUUAAGGUGCUUGAAAUCGAUGCACAUACGGAGAGACUUGUCCUUCUUGGGCACCAUGACCACAUUAGCAAGCCACUUGGAGUGGUGUACCUCGCGAAUGAAGUUGGCCGCCAGAAGUUUAGCUACCUCCUCUCCGNNNNNNNNNNAACCCGUAGUCGAAUCAACAAUUUGAUCAAUGCGGGGGAGCAGGAAGUGGUCUUUCGGACAGACCUUAUUAAGGUGCUUGAAAUCGAUGCACAUACAGAGAGACUUGUCCUUCUUGGGCACCAUGACCACAUUAGCGAGCCACUCGGAGUGGUGACCUCGCGAAUGAAGUUGGCCGCCAGAAGUUUAGCUACCUCCUCUCCGAUUGCUUUUCUCUUGUGCGCGGCGGACCGACACAGGCCUUCUCGGACCGGCCGAGCGGCAGGAUCCACAUGCAGUCGGUGCUCAGCCAACUCCCUGGGUACACCUGGCAUGUCAGCAUGCUUCCAUGCAAAAAUGUCCCACUUCUCACGGAGGAAUUGGAUGAGCUCGACUUCCUAUUUUGGAUCAAGGGUGGUGGAGAUGUUUGUUGGGGNNNNNNNNNNNNNNNNNNNNNNNNNNNNNNNNNNNNNNNNNNNNNNNNNNNNNNNNNNNNNNNNNNNNNNNNNNNNNNNNNNNNNNNNNNNNNNNNNNNNGAUACACACAUACAUAACAUUGAGACCAAAAGAGUUAGAGUUAACAAUGAUAGCGCCAUAUUUUUGUGGCACUACCGCUUAGGUCAUAUUGGCGUAAAGCGCAUGAAGAAACUCCAUGCCGAUGGACUUUUGGAGUCACUUGACUUUGAUUCACUUGANNNNNNNNNNUGCCUCAUGGGCAAGAUGACUAAAACUCCGUUCUCCGGAACAAUGGAGCGUGCAAGUGACUUGUUGGAAAUCAUACAUACCGAUGUGUGUGGUCCGAUGAGCGUAGAGGCACGCGGCGGAUAUCGUUAUUUUCUCACCUUCACUGACGAUUUGAGUAGAUAUGGUUAUGUCUACUUAAUGAAGAACAAGUCUAAAACAUUUGAAAAGUUCAAGCAAUUUCAGAGUGAAGUUGAAAAUCAUCGUAACAAGAAGAUCAAGUUCCUACGGUCUGAUCGUGGGGGUGAAUAUCUGAGUUUCGAGUUUGGUGCUCACUUAAGACAAUGUGGAAUUGUUUCACAGUUGACACCGCCUCGAACACCACAACGUAAUGGUGUGUCCGAACGUCGUAAUCGUACUUUGUUAGAAAUGGUGCGAUCUAUGAUGUCUCUUAUAGAUUUGUCGUUAUCGUUUUGGGGUUAUGCAUUAGAGACAGCUGCAUUCACUUUAAAUAGGGCCCCAUCAAAAUCCGUUGAGACGACACCAUACGAACUGUGGUAUGGCAAAAGACCAAAGUUGUCGUUUCUUAAAGUUUGGGCAUGUGAUGCUUAUGUCAAAAAGCUUCAGCCUGAAAAGCUCGAACCCAAAGCGGAAAGGUGUGUCUUCAUAGGUUACCCAAAGGAGACAGUUGGGUACACCUUCUAUCUCAAAUCCGAGGGCAAAGUGUUUGUUGCUAAAAAUGGAGCUUUUCUUGAGAAGGAGUUUCUCUCGAAAGAAUUGAGUGGGAGGAAGAUAGAACUGGAUGAGGUUCUCGAGCCUCUAGUCCCUCUAGAUGGUGGCGCAGGGCAAGGGGUAACCCCUAUCGUUGUGACGCCGGUUGAGGACGAAGUUGAUGAUGAUGAUCAUGAAACUUCAGAUCAAGUUCCUAUCGGACCUCGCACGUCGACAAGAUCACGUACUACUCCUGAGUGGUACGGUAAUCCUGUCUUAUCAAUCAUGUUGUUAGACAACAAUGAACCUGCGAAUUAUGAAGAAGCAAUGGUGGGCCCGGAUUCCAACAAAUGGCUGGAGGCCAUGAAGUCCAAGAUAGGAUCUAUGUACAAAAACAAAGUGUGGACUUUGGAAGUACUACCUGAAGGCCGCAAGGCUAUUCAGAACAAAUGGAUCUUUAAGAAGAAGACGGACGCAGACGGUAAUGUGCCAUUUACAAAGCUCGACUUGUGGCAAAGGGUUUUUCAAAAGUUCAAGGAAUUGACUACAAUGAGACAUUCUCACCGGUAGCGAUGCUUAAGUCCGUCCGAAUCAUGUUAGCAAUAGCUGCAUUUUUCGAUUAUGAAAUCUGGCAGAUGGAUGUCAAAACGGAGUUCCUUAAUGGUUUUCUUAAGGAAGAGUUGUAUAUGAUGCAACCCGAAGGUUUUGACGAUCCAAAGAAUGCUGACAAAGUAUGCAAGCUCCAGCGAUCCAUUUAUGGACUGGUGCAAGCAUCACGGAGUUGGAAUAAGCACUUUGAUGAGGUGAUCAAAGCAUUUGGGUUUAUACAAGUGGUUGGAGAAUCUUGUAUUUACAAGAAAGUGAGUGGGAGCUCUGUGGCGUUUCUAAUAUUAUAUGUGGAUGACAUAUUGUUGAUUGGAAACAACGUAGAGUUUUUGGAGAGCAUAAAGGAUUACUUUAAUAAAAGUUUCUCAAUGAAGGACCUAGGAGAAGCUGCUUACAUUCUAGGCAUUAAGAUCUAUAGGGAUAGAUCAAAAUGCCUGAUAGGACUUUCACAAAGCACAUACCUUGAUAAAGUUUUGAAGAGGUUCAAAAUGGAACAGUCCAAGAAGGGGUUCUUGCCAGUUUUACAAGGUACGAGAUUGAGUAAGACUCAGUUCCCAGCAACUGAUGAGGAUAGAGAGCAUAUGCGCUCCGUCCCCUGUGCUUCAGCCAUAGGUUCUAUCAUGUAUGCAAUGUUGUGCACUAGACCGGACGUUAGCCUGGCCAUAAGUAUGGCAGGUAGGUUCCAGAGUAAUCCAGGAGUGGAUCACUGGACAGCGGUCAAGAAUAUCCUGAAGUACCUGAAAAGGACUAAGGAGAUGUUNNNNNNNNNNNNNNNNNNNNNNNNNNNNNNNNNNNNNNNNNNNNNNNNNNNNNNNNNNNNNNNNNNNNNNNNNNNNNNNNNNNNNNNNNNNNNNNNNNNNAUAGAGGGGCCUGAACUCAUACAUCCUUGCCGUAGCUAAGGCUCUGCCCAUAUACUUUCGUACCCCAUACUUCUAUUGUCAGACUUAUACCCACGACAGUUGGCGCCCACCAUGGGGCAGGCGUCUAAGCGGCUUCCGGCGAGUUUGCAAUUUCAUGUUUUCGUCAUGUCAUCCAGCGGAGAUCUGUGCAUGGGUCAUGAGAUCCUCUUCUGUGCACUCUCCUUCAUCGCCGAUGAUUCGGCAUGGCUUCAGGAUGCGCCCGUCGACAUCGAGACGCUUCUGUGUCGCGGCGCUACGCACUUCCGUGCCAGUUCCUGCGGCAUUCUUCUUCUCCAGCCAUCAACCCGAGUGUCGAUCUUUGCCCCCGUCAUGCACCGCAACAAGCGAUCCGGUUGGUCGCGGCUCCAGCGUUGGGUGCGACACGCCCUAGCGUGACAAAACAUGUCCUCUCAAGUGGCGGUGCUCGAAUCGGUUGUGGUCCCGUCGUCAUCCCAGUGCUUGGAGUCAGUUCCGACUGAACUACCUUCCGAGUAUCAGGGUCACGGGCCUGCAGCCGAAGAACUCAUGGCCGAUUCCCACGGAAGUCCCCUCGGGACUGGUCGGAACGAGCGUGAGUUCGGAGAAUCAUCCGGCGCUCGUCGUCAGCACCUUCGUUCUUCCAGUCGACGCACUCGCCAGAGCAACGUCGAGGUGUUCCGCACACCCACCCUCAACUUGGUUGCAGCCGCCAGGAUAGAUGAUUCUCUCCAGCCGACUGAUUCGGAGUCUGGUAGAGGAAUCGAGCAGAUCCGUGCCUUGUUACAUACGGCGCAGCAGCAAAACUGGCGGUCUCCCAGUCGCACAACAAGAUCCACAACAGUUCCGUUCAAGCGAACACACAUCGGUCGGUUUUCAGUCCCGACUCUUACCAGCUACGCGGAGGGGGCAGCCGUUGCAGGGACCCGAGUCGGAAUCCGCUUUCCAUUUGGUCUCAUCCCGAAGAUCGUCGCCGUUCGCGUACUCCUCCACGGAGUGGGCCUUACGGACCCCGGCAUUACGAUGAUCAUCGUUUGGGCGGUGGCGCGCAUGAUCAAAGGCAUGAUGCAAGAGGGUAUAUCACUCAGAAGAAGGUCGAUAGAAGUCGAGCCCACCGUGAUGGUAACGAUAGAGACUGUCCGAGUGGAAGCAAGACCGUUGUUUCUGGUCCCGAGUGCUUCGGUCGGGCCAUCCGCUCGGCUGACAUCCCUCCCAACUUCUGAUUGGCGACGGGAAUCAGCAAAUUCACAGGAGAGUCCAAACUAGAAACUUGGUUAGACGACUACAGAGUGGCGGUCCAGAUCGGUGGCGGNNNNNNNNNNNNNNNNNNNNNNNNNNNNNNNNNNNNNNNNNNNNNNNNNNNNNNNNNNNNNNNNNNNNNNNNNNNNNNNNNNNNNNNNNNNNNNNNNNNNGCUUGAUCUAUGAUUCUUGCAAUGGGAGAAGUGCUUGGUUUUGGGUUCAUACCGUGCGGUGACCUCACCCAGUGACAGAAGGGGUAGUGAGGCAUGCAUCGUGUUGUUGCCAUCAAGGGUAAAAAGAUGGGUUUUCAUCAUUGCUUUGAGAUUAUCCCUCUACAUCAUGUCAUCUUGCUUAAGGUGUUACUCUGUUCGUCAUGAACUCAAUACACUAGAUGGAUGAUGGAUAGCGGUCGAUGUGUGGAGUAAUAGUAGUAGAUGCAGAAAGUAUCGGUCUACUUGUCUUGGAUGUGAUGCCUAUAUGUAUGAUGAUUGCCUUAGAUAUCGUCAUGACUUUGCGCAGUUCUAUCAAUUGCUCGACAGUAAUUUGUUCACGCACCGUAAUAUUUGCUAUUUUGAGAGAAUCCUCUAGUGAAUACUAUGGCCCCGGGGUCUACUCCACACCAUAUUUCCAGCCUUACUCUUUUACUUCGUUGCACUUUCCGCCUUCAGAUCUCACUNNNNNNNNNNACAAUCAAUCUUGAAGGGAUUGAGAACCCCUUUAUAGCGUUGGGUGCAAGCUCGUUUGUGUUUGCGAGGUACUCUAGACUUGACAAGAUUCUCCUACCGGAUUGAUACCUCGGUUCUCAAACUGAGGGAAAUACUUACUGCUCCUGUGCUGCAUCACCCUUUCCUCUUCAAGGGAAGAACAACGCAAGCAAGUCUCCGUCAACGUGUCAAUUUCUGGCGCUGUUGUUUGAGAAGUAGCAACAAGAAUUUCUGGCGCCUUUUCCGGGGAGAUUCAAGUCAAGAACUCAUCCAAGUAAGUGUCGCAAACUCAUCUCUUGCAUUUACUUUUAUGCCUCUCGUUUUCCUUGCCCCCACUUCUGAAAAACAAAAAUUUACAAAAAUAUUUGCCUUUUUUGUUCGCCCUUUUCUUUCGCUUGCUUUCUGCGUGCUUGAGUGGGAUAGUCUACCGAUCCUCAUGGCUAGACCUACCGCUUCGAACGAUACUCCCGAGAGCGAAGUUCUCAAUUCUAGACAAAAUGAGGAAGAAAACUUAAAGGACGCUUGGUAUAUGAUUUGCAAUGCUCAGAGUAUAUCUACUCGUAAGCAAUCUACUACCGUCCUACUUUGCAGCUUUUAUGUGGGUAUUUCUCCUUGGAAUAGGUAUGUUCUUGACACCAUCGUAGGCAGAAAUCUCUUGGGUAGCCAUACCGUUGAUUCUUACGGUGCUUUAAUAAAUUUAUUUGGCUCACCCCCACUCAUGGUUAAUGGAACUACCUUAACUCUGGAACAUGUGAUGCGUAGGCAGGAUAUCAUUGAAAAUAAAGUUGCUACGAUUGAACUCAUUGAGAAUUUGGAUAAAAAGAUCCACAAUCAAAUCACUAAGUAUGGAUCCAAGGUGGGAAUGACUUUGAAAAAUUUAAAGGAGAGGGAACCCACAGUUAACGAAAAACUAGGUCAUGAUUCCGCUAGGAUUGGCAAACUAGAGGAUGUUAUAACCAACUUGGGUUCCGCUUUUGCCGCUGUGCAGAACAGUCCAAAUUUUGCCCAAAAUAAGGCCACCAAGGCUGUUUUUAUUCCUAAAAAUAGCGGUGAACCAUAUAGUAAAAGAGAUGAAGACCUUAAUAUGAUGAGUGUUCACCCUACUUAUGGUUUGAGUACCAAAGACGAUGAUACGUGAUUCUAUCGUCUUAUGCCUAGCUAAGGGCGUUAAACAAUAGCGCUUGUUGGGAGGCAACCCAAUGAAUUUAUCCUUUCUUUUUUGCUUUCUGUUUUGUUGCGUCCACACCAUCAUAGUUCUGUUAUGAUUGUGUCUUUUGUGUUUGAGCCAAGUAAAACCUUUAUGACUAGUUUGGUGAUCGUUGUUUGAUCAUGCUGGAAAAAGACAGAAACUUUUCGCUCACGAAAUUAUUUUUCAUUUUUUAUCCAGAAAGAGCUUUUGAGUUGAUUCUUUUUGCUGCUGGUUGAUAUGCCAAUUUCCCAAACUAUCGUAAUUUGUCAGAAUAUUUGAGAUACCACAAGUAUACGAAGUAUACAGAUUCCUAGAGACUGGUCUGUUUUUGAUAGAUUCUGUUUUUGUUGUGUUGAUUGCUUAUUAUGAUGAAACUAUGGAUAGUAUCGGGGGUAUUAGCCAUGUAAAAGUGAGAAUACAGUAAUAUAACACCAAUAUAAAUAGAAAUAAAGUUUGCUACAGUACCUCAAGAGGUGGUAGUUUGUUUUCUUGUGCUAAUGAUAUCACGAGUUUCUGUUUAAGUUUUGUGUUGUGAAGUUUUCAAGUUUUGGGUGCUGUUCUCAUGGACAAAGAGAUAAGGAGUGAAAAGAGCUCAAGCUUGGGUAUGCCCAAGGCAUCCCAAGCCAAAUUCAAGGACACCAAAAAGCCUAAGCUUNNNNNNNNNNUUUUUGGUUCUGGUUUAUAUGCCUUUUGCCCAGGCAGUCGUAAUUUGUCAGAAUUGUUGAGGUACCAGAAGUAUACAAAGUAUACAGAUUGCUACAGACUGGUCUGUUUUUUACAGAUUCUGUUUUUGUGGAGUUGGUUGCUUGUUUUGAUGAAACUAUGGUUAAUAUCGGGGGGGUACUAGCCAUGGAAAAGUGAGAAUACAGUAGCCCAACACCAAUAUAGAUAGAAUUCAAGUUUGCUACAGUACCAAAAGAGGUGGUAGUUUGUUUUCUUGUGCUAAUGUUAUCACGAGUUUCUGUUUAAGUUUUGUGUUGUGAAGUUUUUAAGUUUUGGGUGAUCUUCUCAUGGACAAAGAGAUAAGGAGUGGAAAGAGCUCAAGCUUGGGAAUUCCCAAGGCAUCCCAAGCCAAAUUCAAGGACACCAAAAAGCCUAAGCUUGGAGAUGCCCCGGGAAGGCAUCCCCUCUUCCGUCUUCAAUCCAUCGGUAACAUUACUUGGAGCUAUAUUUUUAUUCACCACAUGAUAUGUGUUUUUCUUGGAGAGUCUUGUAUCGUAGUAGUCUUUUCUUUUUGUUGUGUCACAAUCAUCCUUGCUGCACACCUUUUGAUAGAGACAUGCACUCAUCGUGAUUUUGCUAGAAUGCUCAUCGUGCUUCACUUAUAUCUUUUGAGCUAGAUAAAUUUGCUCUUUGUGCUUCACUUAGAUAUUUUAGAGCACGGUGGUGCGUGACUUGGUAGUUGGCUUGUUCUAUGAAAGUAGUCCCAAAGGUGAUAGGUACCCAAAGAGGAUAGAAAAAUAAACCUCCAUCUUCAUGUGCAUUGAGUAGAAAGAUAAGUCUUGAUUCCUCUCAAUUAGUUUUGAGACAUGGAUUUGGUAAUAUUAAGAGUUAUGUUAGUAGGGUGUUGUGAAUCUAGAAAUACUUGUGUUGAAGAUAGUGAUUCUUGUAGCAUGCACGUAUGGUGAACCGCUAUGUUAGGAAGUCAGAGCAUAAUUGAUCUAUUGAUUGUCAUCCUUUGUGUUGAGGUCGGGAUCGCGCGAUGGUUAACACCUACCAACCCUUCCCCUAGGAUUAUGCGUUUAGCACUUUGUUUUAAUUACUAAUAAAAACUUCCGCAACAAGUAUGUGAGUUCUUCAUGACUAAUGUGAGUCCAUGAUAUAGAUGCACUUUCACCUUCCACCAUUGAUAGCCUCUCUAGUGCCGCGCAACUUUCGCCGGUACACAAACCCACCAUAUGCCUUCCUCAAAACAGCCACCAUACCUACCUACUAUGGCAUUUUCAUAGCCAUUCCAAGAUAUAUUGCCAUGCAACUCCCAUCGUUCCGUCUCAUGACUUGUGUCGUCACUCUCAUAUUGCCUUUGCAUGAUCGUAAGAUAGCUAGCGAGAUGUUUCAACGUCAUACGCCAAGCUAGAUCGUUGCACAUCCGUGUACACUGCCGGAGGCAUUUCCUAUAGAGUCAUCAUCGUUCUAUGCUUUGAGCUGUGAGUAAAUAAAAGUGUGAUGAUCAUCAUUACUGGAGCAUUGAACCAUGUGAGGAAUUAAAAAAAAGAGGCCAAAGAGCCCAAAUAAAAAAAAGGGGAGAGAAAAAAAGAGAGGCCCAAGUGCCCAAAAAAAAGAGAAAAAGAGAGAAGGGACAGUGCUACUAUCUUUUUCCACACUUGUGCUUCAUAAUAGCACCAUGUUCUUCAUGAUUGAGAGCCUCUUGUUUCGUCACCACCGUAUGCUAGUGGGAAUCUUUACUAUAUAACUUGGCUUGUAUAUGUUGGGGAACGUCGCAUGGGAAACAAAAAUUAUCCUACGCGCACGAAGACCUAUCAUGGUGAUGUCCAUCCACGAGAAGGGAUGUGUGAUCUACGUACCCUUGUAGACUGUACAGCAGAAGCGUUAGUGAACGCGGUUGAUGUAGUGGAACGUCCUCACGUCCCUCGAUCCGCCCCGCGAACCGUCCCGCGAUCAGUCCNNNNNNNNNNNNNNNNNNNNNNNNNNNNNNNNNNNNNNNNNNNNNNNNNNNNNNNNNNNNNNNNNNNNNNNNNNNNNNNNNNNNNNNNNNNNNNNNNNNNNNNNNNNNNNNNNNNNNNNNNNNNNNNNNNNNNNNNNCUACAACUCGACGAUGAUCUCGGCCUUCUUGAUCCAGCAAGAGAGACGGAGAGGUAGAAGAGUUCCCCGACAGCAUGACGGCGCUCCGGAGGUUGGUGAUGAUCUUGUCUCAGCAGGGCUCCGCCCGAGCUUCGCAGAAACGCGAUCUAGAGGAAAAGCCGUGGAGGUAUGUGGUCGGGAUGCCGUGGAAAAGUCGUCUCAAAUCAGCCCUAAAACCUCCCUAUAUAUAGGGGGAAGAGGGGGAGCCUUGCCUUGAGGUCCAAGGACCCCUAAGGGUUUCGGCCGAGCCAAGGGGGGAAAGUCUCCCCCCCAAACCGAGUCCAACUUGGUUUGGAAGGUGGUGUCCUUCUUCCCUUUCCCACCUCCUCCUUUUUUUUCUUUUCUCUUUGANNNNNNNNNNUCGGGGAGAACACAAUUUCGUCUUGAAAUUUUAGUGAGAGAUCACCUCAUAAUGCUACCGUCGUUCUAAGCAAAAUAAGGUGCAUAAAAGGAUUAACAUCACAUGCGAUUCAUAAGUGACAUGAUAUGGCCAUCAUCACAUGCUCCUUGAUCUCUAUCACAAAGCACCGACACGAUCUUCUUGUCACUGGCGCCACACCAUGAUCUCCAUCAACGUGUCGCCAUCGGGGUUGUCGUGCUACUCAUGCUAUUACUACUAAAGCUACAUCCUAGCAAAAUAGUAAACGCAUCUGCAAGCACAAACAUUAGUAUAAAGACAACCCUAUGGCUCCUGCCGGUUGCCGUACCAUCGACGUGCAAGUCGAUAUUAUCUAUUACAACAUGAUCAUCUCAUACAUCCAAUAUAUCACAUCACAUCGUUGGCCAAAUCACAUCACAAGCAUACCCUGCAAAAACAAGUUAGACGUCCUCUAAUUUUGUUGUUGCAUGUUUUUCGUGGAGACCAUGGGUAUCUAGUAGGAUCGCAUCUUACUUACGCAAACACCACAACGGAGAUAUAUGAGUUGCUAUUUAACCUCAUCCAAGGACCUCCUCGGUCAAAUCCGAUUCAACUAAAGUUGGAGAAACUGACACCCACCAGUCAUCUUUGAGCAACGGAGUUACUCGUAGCGAUGAAACCAGUCUCUCAUAAGCGUACGAGUAAUGUCGGUCCGAGCCGCUUCGAUCCAACAAUACCGCGGAAUCAAGAAAAGACUAAGGAGGGCAGCAAAACGCACAUCACCGCCCACAAAAACUUUUGUGUUUGACUCGAGAAGACAUCUACGCAUGAACCUAGCUCAUGAUGCCACUGUUGGGGAACAUCGCAUGGGAAACAAAAAUUUUCCUACGCGCACGAAGACCUAUCAUGGUGAUGUCCAUCUACGAGAAGGGAUGUGUGAUCUACGUACCCUUGUAGACCGUACAGCAGAAGCGUUAGUGAACGCGGUUGAUGUAGUGGAAUGUCCUCACGUCCCUCGAUCCGCCCCGCGAACCGUCCCGCGAUCAGUCCCACGAUCUAGUGCCGAACGGACGGCACCUCCGCGUUCAGCACACGUACAGCUCGACGAUGAUCUCGGCCUUCUUGAUCCAGCAAGAGAGACGGAGAAGUAGAAGAGUUAUCCGGCAGCGUGACGGCGCUCCGGAGGUUGGUGAUGAUCUUGUCUCAGCAGGGCUCCGCCCGAGCUGCGCAGAAACGCGAUCUAGAGGAAAAGCCGUGGAGGUAUGUGGUCGGGCUUCCGUGGAAAAGUCGUCUCAAAUCAGCCCUAAAACCUCCGUAUAUAUAGGGGGAAGAGGGGGAGCCUUGCCUUGGGGUUCAAGGACCCCUAAGGGUUUCGGCCGAGCCAAGGGGGGAAGGUCUCCCCCCCCAAACCGAGUCCAACUUGGUUUGGAAGGUGGAGUCCUUCUUCCCUUUCCCACCUCCUCCUUUUUUUUCUUUUCUCUUUGAUGUUCUUCCUAUGGCGCAUAGGGCCUUCUUGGGCUGUCCCACCAGCCCACUAAGGGCUGGUGUGCCACCCCCAAGGCCUACGGGCUUCCCCGGGGUGGGUUGCCCCCCCCGGUGAACUCCCGGAACCCAUUCGUCAUUCUCGGUACAUUCCCGGUAACUCCGAAAACCUUCCGGUAAUCAAAUGAGGUCAUCCUAUAUAUCAAUCUUCGUUUCUGGACCAUUCCGGAAACCCUCGUGAUGUCCGUGAUCUCAUCCGGGACUCCGAACAGCAUUCCGUAACCAACCAUAUAACUCAAAUACGCAUAAAACAAUGUCGAACCUUAAGUGUGCAGACCCUGCGGGUUCGAGAACUAUGUAGACAUGACCCGAGAGACUCCUCGGUCAAUAUCCAAUAGCGGGACCUGGAUGCCCAUAUUGGAUCCUACAUAUUCUACGAAGAUCUUAUCGUUUGAACCUCAGUGCCAAGGAUUCAUAUAAUCCCGUAUGUCNNNNNNNNNNNNNNNNNNNNNNNNNNNNNNNNNNNNNNNNNNNNNNNNNNNNNNNNNNNNNNNNNNNNNNNNNNNNNNNNNNNNNNNNNNNNNNNNNNNNGUUUGAGACUGCAGAAUGCCAGUUCGUCCACUCCUGCACAAAACACAGUCAGCAAUGGCAGUCAGCGAGACAAGAAAAGCAAUAAAACUGAGAAGGUUAAAAGCACUCGACAACAUGUACUCACCUCAUUCGGAGGAGGGUUUUCGGCGCGGAAGGCCUUCACCCGCCGAGCUCCCACGGGGUUAUCACAUGUGCCCGUGAUGCUGCGGACCCACGCACUCACGGUCUCCUCGGUCACGUCUUCAGGAUGGGACCGAGUGGUAUCCAAAGGCCCCGUGUAAUGCCACAUUGCGUGGUCUUGGGCCUCGAGCGGCUGGAUGCGUCGACCCAGAAAAGUCUCCAACAGGUCCAUGCCGGCGACUCCCUUCCGGACGACGGCUAGCAGCGCGUCGACCAAAGGCUGGAUCUGAGUUCUUUCUCCCUUAGAGAGCGCUAGCUUCGUGGGAGGGCCCGGACGGUCUAAACCGAAGGGUGGUAACCCACUCGAAGCAUUCGGGCAGGCAAUGUCCUGGCAAUAGAACCAGGAUGAUUGCCAGUUCCUAACCGACUCGGAUAGCUAAAGGGAGGGAUAACUACUUUUCGUUUUCUUCUGAAAUCCUAAACCCGAGCAGAACUGGAGGAUGUGUGUCUUAUCAUCAGACUGGCUAAGCUUCUUAACAGUUUGAGAUCUAGCGGGAAAACAUAUUUGAAGAGCCCCCAGUGGGGAGGACAUCCUAUGAAGCACUCACAGAGGGNNNNNNNNNNNNNNNNNNNNNNNNNNNNNNNNNNNNNNNNNNNNNNNNNNNNNNNNNNNNNNNNNNNNNNNNNNNNNNNNNNNNNNNNNNNNNNNNNNNNCGGAAAGAUGAGCUAUCGCAUUCGGCGUAAAGUGAUGGAGCUGCGCCCCGAAGUAAUUCAUGAUACCUCGGAAGAAAGGAUGGGGAGGCAGGGAGAAACCUCUGGCCACGUGGCUGAGCAGUAGAACGCGCUCCCCCUCCUUCGGCGUCGGCUCCAUCUCGCCUUCCGGCAGCCUUCAAGACUUGUUGACGACCAUGCCGUGCUCCACCAGCUCCAGCACGUCGUUCUCCCUCACCGUGGAGGGGAGGAAGUCCCCUUGGAUCCAGCGCGCCGGCAACGCCAGCUGCCGCCGCUGAGUGGAGGCCGCCCCCUUCUUCUUCUUCUUCGCCUCAAGCUUGCUGGUCUGCCCCUUCGUCAUGGCGAGGGCGACGGAUCCGCAGAGGAGGAGGGGAAGGAGGUGGCUUGAGGUGUGCACGGAGUUGCGGGGGGGGGGGGNNNNNNNNNNAUAUCCAGCCCGCCGGCAACGCCCGCUGCCGCCACUAAGUAGAAGCUGCCCCCUUCGUCUUCUUCUUCGCCUCAAGCUUGCUGGUCUGCCCCUUCAUCAUGGCGAGGGCGACGGAUCCGCAGAGGAGGACGGGAAGGAGGUGGCUUGAGGUGUGCAGGGAGUUGCGGGGGGCGAGAUCAAUGGGAAGAGGACGAGCAGCACAACAGGAAGGUCCGCCGGGAAGGCUUUAAUAGGCCUCCGACUGGGUCACCUACAGGUGGGCCCAAGAUCUUAUCCUCCCAACCGACUGCUGCAAGAUUAGUGGAGAAUAUCGCGGAGCGGUAAUCGAGGAGGCGAAAUCUACUCGAUGGCGAAGUCGUCAUCCCCGCUGAGCGCGCGGCAAUCGAAAUUUGAGGAUCCCGGAAAAUCCGGCGCUCUUAGUAUGACCGGUCACGUCGAAAGAUUAGGCAGAAGCAAUCGGUCCCUCACGGGUCGUUUCGCUUGCAUAUUCACUCGAAUCACUAGCCGCAAAGAUAAAAUGGAUCGAGGCAGACAACGCUAAGAUCACCUCAAUACNNNNNNNNNNNNNNNNNNNNNNNNNNNNNNNNNNNNNNNNNNNNNNNNNNNNNNNNNNNNNNNNNNNNNNNNNNNNNNNNNNNNNNNNNNNNNNNNNNNNAGAACAACCAUUAUUCUCUGACUUAAAAGAGUAACCGUCUCGCAAUAAACAAGAUCCAGAUAUAAUGUUCAUGCUCAACACAGGGACUAAAUAACAAUGAUUCAAGUUCAUAACUAAUCCUGAUGGUAACUGAAGUGAAACUGUGCCGACGNNNNNNNNNNNNNNNNNNNNNNNNNNNNNNNNNNNNNNNNNNNNNNNNNNNNNNNNNNNNNNNNNNNNNNNNNNNNNNNNNNNNNNNNNNNNNNNNNNNNNNNNNNNNNNNNNNNNNNNNNNNNCUACGUGCAUCGUCACUUCAUCUUUCGCCAGCCCUCGUCUAUUCCGCAGUUCCUGUUUCGAGUUGCAAAUAUGAGCAACAGAACCGGUAUCGAAUACCCAUGCACUACUACGAGAGCCGGUUAAGUACACAUCAAUAACAUGUAUAUCAAAUAUACCUGAUUUUUCUUUGGCCGCCUUCUUAUUAGCCACAUACUUGGGGCAAUUGCGCUUCCAGUGACCCAUACCCUUGCAAUAGUAACACUCUGUUUCAGGCUUAGGUCCAGCUUUGGGUUUCUUCGUCGGAUUGGCAACAGGCUUGCCGCUCUUCUUUGAAUUACCCUUCUUGCCUUUGCCGUUUCUCUUGAAACUAGUGGUCUUAUUCACCAUCAACACUUGAUGCUCUUUACGGAGUUCAGACUCUGCGACUUUCAGCAUCGCAAACAACUCGCCGGGAGACUUGUUCAUCCCUUGCAUGUUGUAGUUAAACACAAAACCUUUAUAGCUUGGCGGCAGUGAUUGAAGGAUUCUAUCAGUGAUAGCCUCUUGCGCGAGUUCAAUCCCCAGCUCAGCUAGACGGUUUGAGUACCCAGACAUGUUGAGCACAUGUUCACUAACAGACGAGUUCUCCCUCCAUCUUGCAAGCAUAGAAUUUAUCGGAGGUCUCAUACCUCUCGAUCCGGGUGUUCUUCUGAAAGAUAAACUUCGACUCCUGGAACAUCUCAAAUGCUCCAUGACGCUCAAAGCGACGUUGAAGUCCCGGUUCUAAGCCAUACAAGACUGCACAUUAAACUACUGAGUAGUCCUCCUUACGUGCUAACCAAGAGUUCUUAAAAUCCUAAUCAGCCGUAGCGGGUGGUUCAUCUCCUAGCGCAGCAUUAAGGACAUAAUCCUUCUUUCCAGCUUGUAAGAUUAGCUUAACAUUACGAGCCCAGUCUACAAAGUUGCUUCCAUCAUCUUUCAACUUAGCUUUCUCUAGGAACGUAUUAAAAUUCAGGGUGACUGUUGCGUGAGCCAUUGAUCUACAACACAAAUAUUGCAAAGUGGACUUAGACUAUGUCUAAGAUAAUUAGAGUUUAAUUAAUCAAAUUACUAAUAAACUCCCACUCAAAAAGUACAUCUCUCUAGUCAUUUGAGUGGUACAUGAUCCAAAUUCACUAACUCAAGUCCGAUCAUCACGUGAGUUGAGAAUAGUUUCAGUGGUAAGCAUCUCUAUGCUAAUCAUAUCAACUAUACGAUUCAUGCUCGAUCUUUCGGUCUCAUGUGUUCUGAGGCCAUGUAUGCACAUGCUAGGCUCAUUAAGUUUAACCCGAGUGUUCUGCGCGUGCAACUGUUUUGCACCCGUUGUAUGUGAACGUUGAGUCUAUCACACCCGAUCAUCACGUGGUGUCUCGAAACGACGAAAUGUCGCGACGGUGCACAGUUGUGGAGAACACAAUUUCAUCUUGAAAUUUUAGUGAGAGAUCACCUUAUAAUGCUACCGUCGUUCUUAGCAAAAUAGGGUGCAUAAAAGGAUUAACAUCACAUGUAAUUCAUAAGUGACAUGAUAUGGCCAUCAUCUUGUGCUUCUUGAUCUCCAUCACUUAAGCACCAGCAUGAUCUUCUUGUCACCGGCGCCACACCAUGAUCUCCAUCAUCAUGAUCUCCAUCAACGUGUCGCCAUCGAGGUUGUCAUGCUAUUUAUGCUAUUACUACUAAAGCUAUGACCUAGCAAUAUAGUAAACGCAUCUGCAAACACAAACGUUAGUUUAAAGACAACCCUAUGGCUCGUGCCGGUUGCCGUAGCAUCGACGUGCAAGUUGAUUUAACUAUUAGAACAUGAUCAUCUCAUACAUCCAAUAUAUCACAUCACGUCAUUAGCCAUAUCAUAUCACAAGCAUACCCUGCAAAAACAAGUUAGACGCCCUCUAAUUUGUUGUUGCAUGUUUUACGUGGCUGCUAUGGGUAUCUAGUAUGAUCGCAUCUUACUUAUCAAAAACCACAACGGAGAUGUGAAAAUUGCUAUUUAACCUCUCCAAGGACCGCCUCGGUCAAAAGCAAUUCAACUAAAGUUGAAGAAACAGGCACCCGCCAGUCAUCUUUAUGCAACGAGGUUGCAUGUCAAUUGAUGAAACCAGCCUCUCGUAAGCGUACGAGUUAUGUCAGUCCGGGCCGCUUCAAUCCAACAAUACCGCCGAAUCGAGAAAAGACUAAGGAGGGCAGCAAAUCGACCAUCACCAUCCACAAAACCUUUUGUGUUCUACUCGAGAUAACAUCUAUACAUGAACCUAGCUCUGAUACCACUGUUGGGGAACGUUGCAUGGGAAACAAAAAAUUUCCUACGCACACGAAUACCUAUCAUGGUGAUGUCCAUCUACGAGUGGAGAUUAGAUCUAUGUACCCUUGUAGACUACUCAGCGGGAAGCGUUAAGAAACGCGGUUGAUGUUGGAACAUCUUCACGUCCCUCGAACCGUCUCACAAACCGUCCCGCGAUCCGUCCCACAUCCGUUCCGAUCUAGCGCCGAACGAACGACACCUCCACGUUCAGCACACGUACAGCUCGACGAUGAUCUCGUCCUUCUUGAUCCAGCAAGCAAAAUCGAGAUCUAGAUGAGUUCUCCAGCAGCGUGACGGAGCUCCGGUGGUGGUGAUGAUCUACUCUUGUAGGGAUCCGCCCGAGCUUCGUAGAAAUCGAUCUAGAGGUAAAACUAUGUGGAAUAGGCUAGAGUUGCACGUGGCAAAGUUGUGUCUCAAAAAGCACUAAGCCACCACUAUAUAUAGGAGGAAGGGGAGGGGCUAGCCUUGAGGCACAAGGCUUCAAGGUGCGCCGGCCGCCAGGAGGAGGAGGACUCCUCCUCCAAUUCGGUUUGGGAAGGAGGAGUCCUCCUCUUCCUUCCCACCUCCCUCUUUCCUUUUUUCUUCUUCUUUUCUUUUGGUAUUUUCUUAUGUGGCACCAUAGCCCUCUUGGGCUGACUCCACCAGACCAAUAAGGACUUGGUGCACCACCCUAGGGCCUUGGUCUCACUCCCGGGUGGGUGGGCCCUUUCCGGUAAACACCCGGAACCCAUUCGUCACUCUCGGUACAUUACAGGAAUUGCCCAAUACUUUCCGGUGACCAAAUGAAACCAUCCUAUAUAUGAAUCUUCGUUUACGGGCCAUUCCGGUAACUCUCGUGACGUCCGUGAUCUCAUUCGGGACUCCUAACAACAUUCGGUAACCACACAUAUAACUCAACUAUACUAGAACAUCACCGAACCUUAAGUGUGCAGACCCUGCGGGUUCGAGAACUAUGUAGACAUGACCCGAGGCACUCCUCGGUCAAUAUCCAAUAGAGGGACUUGGAUGCCCAUAUUGGAUCCUACAUAUUCUCCGAAGAUCUUAUCGGUUGAACCUCAGUGUCAAGGAUUCAUAUAAUCCUGUAUGUCAUUCCCUUUGUCCUUCGGUAUGUUACUUGCCCGAGAUUUGANNNNNNNNNNNNNNNNNNNNNNNNNNNNNNNNNNNNNNNNNNNNNNNNNNNNNNNNNNNNNNNNNNNNNNNNNNNNNNNNNNNNNNNNNNNNNNNNNNNNGGAUACCUUUGCUUGGAAGGAGUCAGGACUUCGGAAACAUAAUAUACUGGCCGCUGAACCUUGUACGCUUUGCCUUCUUCUUCACGUUCGACUGUCAGAACGGUGUUGACGACUUGAUUUGUAGCCGCGAUGUACAGAAGAAGGGGUUCUUUACUUAGCGGGGCAGUAAGAACCGGAUGGGUGGAGAGCAGGGCUUUGAGGUCGUCGAAUGCGGUUUGGGCUUCGUCUGUCCACUCGAAGGUAUCCGACUUCUUCAUGAGUCGGUACAGAGGUAACGCCUUCUCACCGAGUCGAGCGAUAAACCUGCUCAAAGCCGCUAGGCAACCUGUGAGCUUUUGUAUGUCAUGUACUCUUACCGGCCGCUCCAUUCGAACAAUGGUCCCGAUCUUCUCGGGGUUAACGUCGAUCCCUCGUUCGGAAACAAAGAAACCGAGUAACUUCCCGCUGGGAACGCCGAAUGAACACUUGGCUGGGUUGAGCUUGAUAUCGUACCUACGUAGGUUGGCGAAUGUUUGUGCCAAGUCGGUCAGUAGGUCGGAACCUUUGCGUGACUUGACUACGAUAUCGUCCAUAUAUGCCUCCACAUUUCGACCAAUCUGGUCUAGGAGGCAUUUUUGGAUCAUUCGCAUAAAAGUUGCUCCUGCAUUCUUCAAACCGAAUGGCAUAGUGAUGUAACAGAAGCACCCGAAUGGGGUGAUGAAAGAUGUUUUUAAUUCAUCUGGACCAUACAGACGGAUCUGAUGAUAGCCCGAAUAGGCAUCAAGGAAGGAUAAGCGCUCGCAACCCGCAGUCGAAUCAACAAUUUGAUCAAUGCGGGGGAGCGGGAAGUGGUCUUUCGGACGUACCUUAUUAAGGUGCUUGAAAUCGAUGCACAUACGGAGAGACUUGUCCUUCUUGGGCACCAUGACCACAUUAGCAAGCCACUUGGAGUGGUGUACCUCGCGAAUGAAGUUGGCCGCCAGAAGUUUAGCUACCUCCUCUCCGAUUGCUUUUCUCUUGUGCGCGGCGGACCGACACAGGCCUUCUCGGACCGGCCGAGCGGCAGGAUCCACAUGCAGUCGGUGCUCAGCCAACUCCCUGGGUACACCUGGCAUGAUAGCAGGCUUCCAUGCAAAAAUGUCCCAGUUCUCACGGAGGAAUUGGAUGAGCUCGACUUCCUAUUUUGGAUCAAGGGUGGUGGAGAUGUUUGUUGGGGUGGCGGUGGCAUCCGUCGGGUGGACGCUUACUUUCUUCGUGUCUCUCGCCGGCUGGAAUGCGGACUCGGAAGCUCGCUUCUUUGAACGCAUCAGGUCAGCUGGGUCGACAAUCUUCUUGUACUCAUCCAACUCGAGUACAGCCAUCUGCUGGUCUGCAAUUCUCGACCCCUGCUGCAGACACUCCUCGGCCCGCUGCCGAUUGCCUGUGACAGUAAUCACGCCUUUGGGGCCAGGCAUCUUCAGCUUCAAAUAUACGUAACAUGGACAGGCCAUGAAACAUACGUAUGCCGGACGGCCCAGAAUGGCAUGGUAUGCACUCUGGAAGUUUACCACCUCGAAUGUUAACUUCUCUUUGUGGAAGUUCUUGUCAGAGCCGAAAACGAAAUCCAACGCAAUCUGGCCGAGUAAUUUGGCCUUUCUUCCUAGGACGACUCCAUGGAAUUGCAUACUGCUCUCGCUAACUCUGGACAUCGAAAUGCCCAUUCCCUUGAGAGUAUCAGUGUACAUGAUAUUCAAGCCGCCGUCGCCGUCCAUGAGGACUUUGCGCAGCCUAACUCCUUCCACCACCGGGUCGACAACCAGAGCUUGCCUCCCUGGGGUGGGUACGUGUGCUGGGUGGUCUGACUGAUCAAAGGUGAUUGCAGUCUAUGACCACUUGAGGAACGUGGAAGUGCAUGGGGUUGCCAUGUUUACCUCCCUGUUGACCAGCUUUAGUCGACUUUUUCUUUCUACAUCAACAAAAAUCAUUAACGUUGCAUGGACUUGAGGGAACGGAUCCUCCUUGUCCUCAUCAUCUUGCUCGGUGUCUUCCUCACUCGGCUGUCCUACACCGAAUCCUUGGAUCAGGAGGCGACACUCCCCAGUGGUAUGUUUCGGCAAUAUGACAUUGCCUUCUUCAUCCGUCUUCGUGUGGAUUGGACACGGUUGAUCUAGGAUGGAAUUUCUGAUUGUUUCUUCUUGGGGGUGUACUGUGCUUUCCCCUUGCCUUUGAACUUAGUGUUUGUAACGACUACCGCCUCUGCUAGCGGAGUGGAUUGAGCUUUCUGUUUCUGCUUCCGACUGCUGUUCCCAUCUCCAUCAGCGACUGACUUAUGCUUGCCGCUACGUAUGCGGUCCUCCUCUUCGCCAUUUGCAUAGCGCGCGGCUAUCUCCAUCAUUUUGCUCAUGGAGAUGUCGCUUGUCCGACCAAACUUCAGGCAUAGAUCUCUGUACCGAACGCCUGCCUUGAAGGUGCAAACUGCUUGGUGUUCUGUAACAUUCUCCAUCAUGUGGUAGAGGGUCGUCCACCGUUGGAUGAAAUCGCGCAAGGGCUCGUUUUAAUUCUGGACACAGUGCUGAAGCUCUAUGAGACCAGCACGGCGUUUGCACGUACCCUCAAAGGUCCUGAUGAAGACUCGGGACAGAUCUGCCCAACUGUAAAUGCUUGAUAGAGCUAACUAGUUUAGCCAAGCUCGAGCCGAACCGUCGAGCAUCAGUGGGAGAUGUUUCAUGGUGACAUGGUCAUCUCCGCCACCGAUCUGGACCGCCACUCUGUAGUCGUCUAACCAAGUUUCUGGUUUGGACUCUCCUGUGAAUUUGCUGAUUCCCGUCGCCAAUCGGAAGUUGGGAGGGAUGUCAGCCGAGCAGAUGGCCCGACUGAAGCACUUGGGACCAGAAAUAAUGGUCCUGCUUCCACUCAGACGGUCUCUAUCGUGACCAUCACGGUGGGCUCGACUUCUAUCGACCUUCUUCUGAGUGAUAUACCCUCUUGCAUCAGGCCUUUGCUCAUGCACACCACCGCCCGAACGAUGAUCAUCGUAAUGCCGGGGUCCGUAAGGCCCACUCCGCGGAGGAGUACGCUAACGGCGACGAUCUUCGGGAUGAGACCGAAUGGAAAGCGGAUUCCGACUCGGGUCCCUGGAACGGCUGCCCCCUUUGCGUCGCUAGUGAGAGUCGGGACUGAAAACCAAUCGAUGUGUGUUCGCUUGAACGGAAUUGUUGUGGAUCUUGUUGUGCGACUGGGAGACCGCCGAGUUUUGCUGCUGCGCCGUAUGUAACAAGGCACGAAUCUGCUCGAUUCCACUACCAGCCUCCAAAUCAGUCGGCUAGAGAGAAUCAGCUAUCCUGGCGGCUGCAGCCAAGUUGAGGAUGGGUGUGUGGAACACCUCGACGUUGCUCUGGCGAGUGCGUCCAUUGGAAGAACGAAGGUGCUGACGACGAGCGCCAUAUGAUUCUCCGAACUCAAGCUCGUUCCGACCAGUCCCGAGGGGACUUUCGUGGGAAUCGGCCAUGAGUACUUCGGCUGCAGGCCCGUGACCCUGAUACUCGGAAGGUAGUUCAGUCGGAACUGACUCCAAGCACUGGGAUGACGGCGGGACCACAACCGAUUCGAGCACCGCCACUUGAGAGGACAUGUUUUGUCACGCUAGGGCGUGUCGCACCCAACGCUGGAGCCGCGACCAACCGGAUCGCUUGUUGCGGUGCAUGACGGGGGCAAAGAUCGACACUCGGGUUGAUGGCUGGAGAAGAAGAAUGCCGCAGGAACUGGCACGGAAGUGCGUAGCGCCGCGACACAGAAGCGUCUCGAUGUCGACGGGCGCAUCCUGAAGCCAUGCCGAAUCAUCGGCGAUGAAGGAGAGUGCACAGAAGAGGAUCUCAUGACCCAUGCACAGAUCUCCGCUGGAUGACAUGACGAAAACAUGAAAUUGCAAACUCGCCGGAAGCCGCUUAGACGCCUGCCCCAUGGUGGGCGCCAACUGUCGUGGGUAUAAGUCUGACAAUAGAAGUAUGGGGUACGAAAGUAUAUGGGCAGAGCCUUAGCUACGGCAAGGAUGUAUGAGUUCAGGCCCCUCUAUGGUGGAGGUAAAAGCCCUACGUCUCAGUGCUCUUGGGAGCUUUGUGUCGAGUGUAUUGUGGGAUUACAGCAAGUGCCAACCCCUGUUCCAGUGGUGAAGGGCGGCUUAUAUAGAGUGCGCUGCCCUUCAUAAUGGCCCGGUGGAUAGGAGUGGAGUAGUGGCGAGUAAAGGCUGGCGUUACUGGUAACGUAAGCCUUAAAAAUGCUAGUUAUGGUGUAUGAAAACGCAUGACAGUUGCCCUCCUGGGAGGUUACGACGUACAGAGUGGAUUCCAGUCGGUACGUUAGAUAUGCUGCGAGUGGAUCGUCGCCGACUGAAUGAUGGGGGCGUCUUUAGUUUAGUCGGAACUGUCUAAGGGCCUUGUCCUCUAUGAAGGGUAGUCCUUGGGUAGGAUCUAUAGGGCAGACCUAUGACCCUACCCUGGGGCUAUAACCCCAUCAAUCAUGUUUUGCCCGUGGAAGAGGUUUAGUCAGCGGGUCUGCUACAUUCAGAUCCGUGUGCACUUUGCAAUUAUUCACGUCCUCUCCUUCGACGUAGUCGCGGAUGAGGUUGAAGCGUCGUUUGAUGUGUCUGGUCUUCUUGUGAAACCUCGGUUCCUUUGCUAGAGCAGUGGCACCAGUGUUGUCAUAGAACAGAGUUAUUGGAUUUAGUGCGCUCGACACAACUCCAAGAUCCGUCAUGAACUGCUUCAUCCAGACACCCUCCUUUCCUGCCUCCGAGGCAGCCAUGUACUCUGCUUCACAUGUAGAAUCUGCUACGACGCUUUGCUUGGAACUUCACGAGCUUACCGCACCCCCAUUAAGAAUAAAUACGUAUCCAUUUUGCGACUUAGAGUCAUCCGGAUCAGUGUCAAAGCUUGCGUCGAAGUAACCUUUUACGACGAGCUCUUCGUCACCUCCAUAAACGAGAAACAUUUCUUAGUCCUUUUCAGGUACUUCAGAAUAUUCUUGACCGCCGUCCAGUGAUCCACUCCUGGAUUACUCUGAAACCUGCCUGCCAUACUUAUGGCCAAGCUGAUGUCUAGUCUAGUGCAUAGCAUUGCAUACAUGAUAGAACCUAUGGCUGAAGCAUAAGGGAUGGAACUCAUUUGUUCUCUAUCUUCCGCAGUUGCUGGGCACCGAGUCUUACUCAAUUUUAUACCUUGUAACAUUGGCAAGAACCCUUUCUUGGACUGUUCCAUUUUGAACUUCUUCAAAACUUUAUCAAGGUAUGUGCUUUGUGAAAGUCCUAUCACGCGUCUUGAUCUAUCCCAAUAGAUCUUAAUGCCUAGAAUGUAAGCAGCUUCUCCUAGGUCCUUCAUAGAGAAUUUUUAUUCAAGUAAUCCUUUACGCUCUCCAAAAACUCCACGUUGUUUCCAAUCAGCAAUAUGUCAUCCACAUAUAAUGUUAGAAACGCCAUAGAGCUCCCACUCACUUUCUUGUAAAUACAAGAUUCUCCAACCACUUGUAUAAACCCAAAUGCUUUGAUCACCUCAUCAAAGUGCUUAUUCCAACUCCGUGAUGCUUGCACCAGUCCAUAAAUGGAUCGCUGGAGCUUGCAUACUUUGUCAGCAUUCUUUGGAUCGUCAAAACCUUCGGGUUGCAUCAUAUACAACUCUUCCUUAAGAAAACCAUUAAGGAACUCCGUUUUGACAUCCAUCUGCCAGAUUUCAUAAUCGAAAAAUGCAGCUAUUGCUAACAUGAUUCGGACGGACUUAAGCAUCGCUACCGGUGAGAAUGUCUCAUUGUAGUCAAUUCCUUGAACUUUUGAAAAACCCUUUGCCACAAGUCGAGCUUUGUAAAUGGCACAUUACCGUCUGCGUCCGUCUUCUUCUUAAAGAUCCAUUUGUUCUGAAUAGCCUUGCGGCCUUCAGGUAGUACUUCCAAAGUCCACACUUUGUUUUUGUACAUAGAUCCUAUCUUGGACUUCAUGGCCUCCAGCCAUUUGUUGGAAUCCGGGCCCACCAUUGCUUCUUCAUAAUUCGCAGGUUCAUUGUUGUCUAACAACAUGAUUGAUAAGACAGGAUUACCGUACCACUCAGGAGUAGUACGUGAUCUUGUCGACGUGCGAGGUCCGAUAGGAACUUGAUCUGAAGUUUCAUGAUCAUCAUCAUCAACUUCGUCCUCAACCGGCGUCACAACGAUAGGGGUUACCCCUUGCCCUGCGCCACCAUCUAGAGGGACUAGAGGCUCGAGAACCUCAUCCAGUUCUAUCUUCCUCCCACUCAAUUCUUUCGAGAGAAACUCCUUCUCAAGAAAAGCUCCAUUUUUAGCAACAAACACUUUGCCCUCGGAUUUGAGAUAGAAGGUGUACCCAACUGUCUCCUUUGGGUAACCUAUGAAGACACACCUUUCCGCUUUGGGUUCGAGCUUUUCAGGCUGAAGCUUUUUGACAUAAGCAUCACAUGCCCAAACUUUAAGAAACGACAACUUUGGUCUUUUGCCAUACCACAGUUCGUAUGGUGUCGUCUCAACGGAUUUUGAUGGGGCCCUAUUUAAAGUGAAUGCAGCUGUCUCUAAUGCAUAACCCCAAAACGAUAACGACAAAUCUAUAAGAGACAUCAUAGAUCGCACCAUUUCUAACAAAGUACGAUUACGACGUUCGGACACACCAUUACGUUGUGGUGUUCGAGGCGGUGUCAACUGUGAAACAAUUCCACAUUGUCUUAAGUGAGCACCAAACUCGAAACUCAGAUAUUCACCCCCACGAUCAGACCAUAGGAACUUGAUCUUCUUGUUACGAUGAUUUUCAACUUCACUCUGAAAUUGCUUGAACUUCUCAAACGUUUCAGACUUGUGCUUCAUCAAGUAGAUAUAUCCAUACCUACUCAAAUCGUCAGUGAAGGUGAGAAAAUAACAAUAUCAGCCGCGCGCCUCCACACUCAUCGGACAACACACAUCGGUAUGUAUGAUUUCCAUCAAGUCACUUGCACGCUCCAUUGUUUCGGAGAACGGAGUCUUAGUCAUCUUGCCCACGAGGCAUGGUUCGCACGUGUCAAGUGAUUCAAAGUCAAGUGACUCCAAAAGUCCAUCAGAAUGGAGUUUCUUCAUGCGCUUUACACCAAUAUGACCUAAGCGACAGUGCCACAAAAACAUGGCGCUAUCAUUGUUAACUCUAACUCUUUUGGUCUCAAUGUUAUGUAUUUGUGUAACACUGCUAUCAAGAUUCAAUAUGAACAAUCCUCUCACAUUGGGUGCAUGACCAUAAAAGAUACUACACAUAGAAAUAGAACAACCAUUAUUCUCUGACUUAAACAGGUAACCGUCUCGCAGUAAACAAGAUCCAGAUAUAAUGUUCAUGCUUAACGCAGGCACUAAAUAACAAUUAUUUAAGUUCAUAACUAUUCCUGAUGGUAAUGGAAGUGAAACUGUGCCGACGAUGAUUGCAUCAACCUUGGAACCAUUUCCCAUGCGCAUCAUCACUUCAUCCUUUGCCAGCCUUCGUUUAUUCCGCAGUUCUUGUUUCAAGUUGCAAAUAUGAGCAAUAGAACCGGUAUCAAAUACCCAGGCACUACUAUGAGAGUUGGUUAAGUACACAUCAAUAACAUGUAUAUCAAUAUACUUGAUUUUUCCAUGGCCGCCUUCUUAUCAGCCAAAUACUUGGGGGCAGUUGCGCUUCUAGUGACCCAGUCCCUUGCAAUAAUAACACUCUGUUUCAGGCUUAGGCCCAACCUUGGGUUGCUUCGUCGGAUUGGCAACAGGCUUGCCACUCUUAUUGGAGUUACCCUUCUUGCCUUUGCCGUUUCUCUUGAAACUAGUGGUCUUAUUGAACAUCAACACUUGAUGCUCUUUUCGAAGUUCUGACUCUGCGACUUUCAGCAUCGCGAAUAACUCGUCGGGUGACUUGUUCAUCCCUUGCAUUUUAUAGUUCAACACAAAGCUCUUGUAGCUUGGUGGCAGUGAUUGAAGAAUUCUGUCAGUGAUAGAUUCUUGCGGGAGUUCAAUGCCUAACUCAGCUAGACGGUUUGAGUACCCAGACAUUUUGAGCACAUGUUCACUGACAGACGAAUUCUCCUCCAUCUUGCAAGCAUAGAAUUUAUCAGAGGUCUCAUACCUCUCGAUCCGGGCGUUCUUCUGAAAGAUAAACUUCAACUCCUGGAACAUCUCAUAUGCUCCAUGACGCUCAAAGCGACGUUCAAGUCCCGGCUCUAAGCCAUACAAGACUGCACAUUUAACUACUGAGUAGUCCUCCUUACGUGUUAACCAGGCGUUCUUAACAUCUUGGUCAGCCGUAGCGGGUGGUUCAUCUCCUAGCGCAGCAUUAAGGACAUAAUCCUUCUUCCCAGCUUGCAGGAGCAACUUAAGAUUACGGGCCGAGUCUACAAAGUUGCUUCCAUCAUCUUUCAACUUAGCUUUCUCUAGGAACGUAUUAAAAUUCAGGGUGACUGUUGCGUGAGCCAUUGAUCUACAACACAAAUAUUGCAAAGUGGACUUAGACUAUGUCUAAGAUAAUUAGAGUUUAAUUAAUCAAAUUACUAAUAAACUCCCACUCAAAAAGUACAUCUCUCUAGUCAUUUGAGUGGUACAUGAUCCAAAUUCACUAACUCAAGUCCGAUCAUCACGUGAGUUGAGAAUAGUUUCAGUGGUAAGCAUCUCUAUGCUAAUCAUAUCAACUAUACGAUUCAUGCUCGAUCUUUCGGUCUCAUGUGUUCUGAGGCCAUGUAUGCACAUGCUAGGCUCAUUAAGUUUAACCCGAGUGUUCUGCGCGUGCAACUGUUUUGCACCCGUUGUAUGUGAACGUUGAGUCUAUCACACCCGAUCAUCACGUGGUGUCUCGAAACGACGAAAUGUCGCGACGGUGCACAGUUGUGGAGAACACAAUUUCAUCUUGAAAUUUUAGUGAGAGAUCACCUUAUAAUGCUACCGUCGUUCUUAGCAAAAUAGGGUGCAUAAAAGGAUUAACAUCACAUGUAAUUCAUAAGUGACAUGAUAUGGCCAUCAUCUUGUGCUUCUUGAUCUCCAUCACUUAAGCACCAGCAUGAUCUUCUUGUCACCGGCGCCACACCAUGAUCUCCAUCAUCAUGAUCUCCAUCAACGUGUCGCCAUCGAGGUUGUCAUGCUAUUUAUGCUAUUACUACUAAAGCUAUGACCUAGCAAUAUAGUAAACGCAUCUGCAAACACAAACGUUAGUUUAAAGACAACCCUAUGGCUCGUGCCGGUUGCCGUAGCAUCGACGUGCAAGUUGAUUUAACUAUUAGAACAUGAUCAUCUCAUACAUCCAAUAUAUCACAUCACGUCAUUAGCCAUAUCAUAUCACAAGCAUACCCUGCAAAAACAAGUUAGACGCCCUCUAAUUUGUUGUUGCAUGUUUUACGUGGCUGCUAUGGGUAUCUAGUAUGAUCGCAUCUUACUUAUCAAAAACCACAACGGAGAUGUGAAAAUUGCUAUUUAACCUCUCCAAGGACCGCCUCGGUCAAAAGCAAUUCAACUAAAGUUGAAGAAACAGGCACCCGCCAGUCAUCUUUAUGCAACGAGGUUGCAUGUCAAUUGAUGAAACCAGCCUCUCGUAAGCGUACGAGUUAUGUCAGUCCGGGCCGCUUCAAUCCAACAAUACCGCCGAAUCGAGAAAAGACUAAGGAGGGCAGCAAAUCGACCAUCACCAUCCACAAAACCUUUUGUGUUCUACUCGAGAUAACAUCUAUACAUGAACCUAGCUCUGAUACCACUGUUGGGGAACGUUGCAUGGGAAACAAAAAAUUUCCUACGCACACGAAUACCUAUCAUGGUGAUGUCCAUCUACGAGUGGAGAUUAGAUCUAUGUACCCUUGUAGACUACUCAGCGGGAAGCGUUAAGAAACGCGGUUGAUGUUGGAACAUCUUCACGUCCCUCGAACCGUCUCACAAACCGUCCCGCGAUCCGUCCCACAUCCGUUCCGAUCUAGCGCCGAACGAACGACACCUCCACGUUCAGCACACGUACAGCUCGACGAUGAUCUCGUCCUUCUUGAUCCAGCAAGCAAAAUCGAGAUCUAGAUGAGUUCUCCAGCAGCGUGACGGAGCUCCGGUGGUGGUGAUGAUCUACUCUUGUAGGGAUCCGCCCGAGCUUCGUAGAAAUCGAUCUAGAGGUAAAACUAUGUGGAAUAGGCUAGAGUUGCACGUGGCAAAGUUGUGUCUCAAAAAGCACUAAGCCACCACUAUAUAUAGGAGGAAGGGGAGGGGCUAGCCUUGAGGCACAAGGCUUCAAGGUGCGCCGGCCGCCAGGAGGAGGAGGACUCCUCCUCCAAUUCGGUUUGGGAAGGAGGAGUCCUCCUCUUCCUUCCCACCUCCCUCUUUCCUUUUUUCUUCUUCUUUUCUUUUGGUAUUUUCUUAUGUGGCACCAUAGCCCUCUUGGGCUGACUCCACCAGACCAAUAAGGACUUGGUGCACCACCCUAGGGCCUUGGUCUCACUCCCGGGUGGGUGGGCCCUUUCCGGUAAACACCCGGAACCCAUUCGUCACUCUCGGUACAUUACAGGAAUUGCCCAAUACUUUCCGGUGACCAAAUGAAACCAUCCUAUAUAUGAAUCUUCGUUUACGGGCCAUUCCGGUAACUCUCGUGACGUCCGUGAUCUCAUUCGGGACUCCUAACAACAUUCGGUAACCACACAUAUAACUCAACUAUACUAAAACAUCACCGAACCUUAAGUGUGCACACCCUGCGGGUUCGAGAACUAUGUAGACAUGACCCGAGGCACUCCUCGGUCAAUAUCCAAUAGAGGGACUUGGAUGCCCAUAUUGGAUCCUACAUAUUCUCCGAAGAUCUUAUCGGUUGAACCUCAGUGUCAAGGAUUCAUAUAAUCCUGUAUGUCAUUCCCUUUGUCCUUCGGUAUGUUACUUGCCCGAGAUUUGAUCGUCGGUAUCCGCAUACCUAUUUCAAUCUCGUUACCGGCAAGUCUAUUUACUCAUUCCGUAAUACAAGAUCCCGUGACUUACACUUAGUCACAUUGCUUGCAAGGCUUGUGUGUGAUGUUAUAUUACCGAGUGGGCCCCGAGAUACCUCUCCGUCACACGGAGUGACAAAUCCCAGUCUUGAUCCAUACUAACUCAAUGGACACCUUCGGAGAUACCUGUAGAGCACCUUUAUAGUCACCCAGUUACGUUGCGACGUUUGAUGCACACAAGGUAUUCCUUCGAUGCCAGUGAGUUAUAUAAUCUCAUGUUCAUAGGAAUAAAUACUUGACACGUAGAAAACAAUAGCAAUAAAAUGACACGAUCAAUAUGCUAUGUUGAUAGUUUGGGUCUAGUCCAUCACAUGAUUCUCCUGAUGAUGUGAUCCAGUUAUCAAGCAACAACACUUGCACAUAGUCAGAAAACCUUGACUAUCCUUGAUCAACUGGCUAGCUAACUAGAGGCUUGCUAGGGACAUCGUUUUGUCUAUGUACCCACACAUGUAUCUAUGAUUUCAUUCAAUACAAUUAUAGCAUGGAUAAUAAACGAUUAUCUUUGUAAUAGGAAAUAUAAUAAUAACUAUUUAUCAUUGCCUCUACGGCAUAUUUCCAACAGCGGCAACUUUGGCUGCGGGAGGAACCGGGGCGGUGGAGUGUUCGCGGGUGGCGGCGCUGUUGGCCGACAGCGGGCGCGCAACGGGGUGACCGGAGGGCGUAGUGCGGGGCGCCGGCGGGUCUCGGCCGGAGGGCGGCAACGCGACGCAGGUUUGACCAGAGCGGGGCUGGCGAAGGGGCUCUGGAUCGGGGCUCCUCCUCGAUGUGGAGCUCAGGCCCGAGGGGCGCGGAUGCGGCGGCGGCUUCGGGCCCGGGCGGGCUAGAGCGGUCCUGCGGCGCUGGUGGGAGGAGGAGAGGCUGCGCUAGGGUUUGAGGGGGCGCACGGAUCUUGAGGCAGGCCUGGGGCUGCCCGAUGUGGACGUGGGAAUGCCCAUUUAUAGAAGUUUUGUCUAGGGUUUGGGGUUUUCAUGGCCGAUUUUGACCGCGCGAUCGUGAUCAGACGUCCCCCGCCGCAGGGUGGGCUGGUUGGGCCGUGUAGAGUGGGUGUUGGGCUAAGACGAGAGGGAAAUGGUGCGACCCGGCGAUAGUGAUUUAAAACACCGAAAACGUCCGACGAUAACCCGCCGACGGUGCCGCUAUGGUCUACCGUUCGGCUAUCAAAGGGACUCCUAUUGCGGCGAAAAUUGGCACGCGACCUACCUACAUAAAAAUAAGACCGCACACCAAGUUUCAACCCAAUCCAAGAAUAUUUUAUACACACUUUUAAAAACAAAUAUUAGCGAUGCCGCGGGCGCAUGCGUGUGUGGUUGGUCUCAAAAUGGGCAACGACGAACACGGAGAGAACCGACAACUAAUAAUGGAUGCAGGUUUUGAAAACUGGCGGCAAUGGAGUGCCGAUGCAAUGCAGAUGAUGCGCAUGAUGCGAUGAUGAAUGCGACAGACAAACGAACCACACGACGGGAACGAAAUAAAAGGGGAACUUCUGGAGCGUCGGUCUCGGGAUGUCACACAUAUCACCGCAUGAAAUAUCCUCAAUUAUUUUAACAUAACAAUAACGUUUCCUUCAUCACAACAAACCAUACACAAAGGUAAUAUUCCAUGUUCAGAAUGCUUGCCUUGUUUGUGUAGAAAGGUAGGGUGCACUUCAAAACUUUUGAAAGUUUUCAAUCUUCCUCUUCAAAUUCCUAUUUUGAAAAUACUCAAAUCAACAUACCAUUCAAACAAAAGUAAAAAGUUAUUCGGAAAUUUUUCAAUUAAAUACUAAAAUAAACUAGAGAAAAAUUGAAAGAGGUGAGUAAAAGAAUCAACUCAUUUGGAGUUUUAUUUUAAAAGAUAUGACCAGUAAAAGAUUGGUCAAACUUCUGUUUUUAAAAUAAAUCAGAAAAGAAAGCGAUUCGGCUCACAUUAUGCUUUUACAGAAGGGAAUACAUACUUUGCACAAAUACACCUUCACUUAACGUGGCUCAAGCUCGGCUCUGUCGCUGACGAGUGGGGCCCUUCAUACAGGUUUGACUUUGGUCAAACCGGUCAUCUACCUCCUCCAAACAAGGGGAGGAGAGGCCUCCGGUGGCUCUUGACGGUGAUUGGGGGCACUACACCAAAAUCCGAGAGUAUCAACAUGCUCGGGGUCCCAAGGCAAUCCCAAAGGUGCGGGAUUUGGUCGGCGGAGAGCCUGGGAGCUCCAGCGGCUUCGAGGCGUGCGGACGGCGGCGCGGGUCCGCAAGGGAACUUUGCCCACGGCUCAUCUUGAGUGAAAUCGAGAGGGGGGAUGGGCUCGCGGUGCCAGUGUUAUUCCACCAAGGGGGAGAGCGAUGCAGGAUAAACUUCAUUGGCCUCGAAUUUAACUACAGGGGCGGCGGCCGAACCUCGGCCGGAGGUGAGGAAGACGACCUCCCCCGGUCGAUUGGUUGCAAUGGGAGCUUGAGAGGGGCCGGAGAGGUUCCUCUGAGGGUCUGGGAAAACCCGGGGGUCCCUUAUAUACGCAAUCAAGGUCGUUUCCGAGCGGCAACGGAUAACUCUGACGAACUAUUGCUAACAAGAGAUGUGGCGGCGACUAACGGGGACAGGCGCUAGCAGACGAGCUAGCGGAUGAGCUCGAGCUAUU